CUACUAACAUGCUCAUCAAGAACUUGAUCAAAAAAUUCAUCAAGCUGUUUAGCCACUCUCUUUGCCCUACCAUACAUUCCAUUAACGCUUCCCAACCAAUCAAGCCAAGGUAUGUAGUCCCCUAUAACUGAAGCACCCAACAGCUCCAUCAUCUCAUCCAUUGGCUCCCGAAGCUUACUCCCUCCUUCUCCACUGUAUCUCCUUCCGAGAGCAGCUCUACACACUAUGUCAUUUGCGACUGUAGUAAAUAAAUCAGUUAAAUUCACAGGCAUCGAAGAAGAACAACACUGCUUAAUCUUAUCCAUCAUUGCGGAGAUUUCCUCUUCUCUCACUACACCAAAGGAUUGAACCUUUUUUGCACUGAGAAGAUGCAAGACAGAAAUACUCCUUAUCUGCCUCCAGUAGUUGCCAUAUGGAGCAGUUGCCACAUCUUUGGAAUCAUACAACAAGAUAUCGAACAUCUUACGAUGUGGUCUGUUGGAAAAAACAAGGUCGUGUGUUUUCAUAACCUCACGAGCUGCCUCAGCUGUGGAAACCACAAGAACUGGCACCCUUCCAAAGUGAAGUAACAUUAAAGGGCCAUAGGUUUGAGCAAAGGAUUGGAGAUUGCGAUGAGUGAGGGCGCCAAGUUGGUGGAGAUUUCCUAUUAUUGGAAGCUUUGGAGGAGAUGGUGGUGAGAUUUUUUUGCUCCUUGCAGAAUUGAAAUUGUGAUUACAUUUGGAUAAAAGAUUGAUGAGAGUAGGUAAAAAGAAGAUGAUUAAGGUAGCGAUUGGGAGGAAAAACCAGCAUGAAGAGUUUUCAUGCAGAGAAGUGAACAUUGUGUCGUGUGUUUUCUUUAAUUUGCUGUAUAAUUAAUUAGCAAUGCAGAACGAGGUAUUUAUAAUGUUUGUAAGCUAGGUGUAUUUGUAUACGUUUCUUAGAUUUUUUUUUUUUUCAAAUACAGUACGUAUGUAGUUUCCGUUCCAAGAUAUAUUUAGAGAUUACGUGAAUGAUUUGAAAGUAGGAAAAUGAUACCUCUUAACACCACAGUUCAUUAAAUAUAUAUCUAACUAACAACUAAUUUUUUAAUAAAAUAUUAUAUAAUAAAAAAAUAAUAAUCAUAUAUGAAUGUAGUAGAAUGGUUCUAGAUAGUUAAAAGCUCUUAAAUUCAAUUUUGCUAGAACUCUGUUUUUUAUUCUUUUUUUUAGUAAUAUCUUUUGCAACAAUAUCUAUUCAAUCCUUUUUUUUUUCUCAAUUGUUUUAGUUUAUAUAAUCAUAAUCUUUUCCAUUUAUUCGAUGUUCUAUAAUUUCCUGACCAGAAAGUAAAACAUAAAUACUUAUUAAGUUUAAUUUUCUUGACAUGUUUGAAGAACUAGAAAAAGAAAAAGAAUUAGAGAACAAUGGCAAUAAAUAGAUAAAGGUAAAACUUCCAACCAUUUGCCACUAAAUUAACAAUACAAGUUUCUUUAAUAAUAUAUACAAGUUGUUUCGUUUGUUCAAAAGCCCUAAAUAUUGGAACCAAGACUUUUCUAUAAUUGCAAAGUUUACUAAAAUCACAAUGAUUGUAAAUUUUAUCUACGAUUCAUUUGACCACAUAAUAAGAUACGUGUUACUUCUUGCAAACCUCCACUUUAUCAUUUUGUAUUGUUUUGCUGAUAAAAAAAAAUAAAAAUCAUUUUGUAUUGUUUUUAAGCUUUGACUAUGCUAUGCAUGAACUUUCAGCUAUUCAGCCUAAUCAUCUUAUGAUAGUGAUCUGAUUUGAUAUUAUAAAUGUCAACGAGCCAAUUUUUUUCUCCAAAAUAAAUUAUUUCACUGACUUUUAAACUUAAAACUGAAAAAUUGUUUAUAAAGAUUAUAAUCAAAUUCUAUUUAUAAUUUUUCACAUGUCUAAUAGAAAGAUGCCUUUUAAACUCAUCAUCUAAAUUUAAUUGAAAUUUUGUUCUCGAACAGGUUUUGAUUAAAAGAAUUAUUACCUUUCUCUUUGGUUGGUCGGUCGUUUUCUACUUCUUCCCUUCACUGAAUGUCUUCCUUCUCUUCUUCAUUGUCCCCUUCCUUGUAAAUUUCAAGUCCGGAUGGUAAGUACAAAAGGCACUCCAAUAUUUCAGUGAGAUCUUAGUAUUCGGUGUUCGGUGUAAUUAAUGCGUGAUGAUGACGUACCUUUUUAUCGAAAUCUAUGACUAUUUAUAUGAUUAUCAUGGGUCUUUUGUUAUUGGGUCGGAUUAGGGUUUUGAAUCAUAAUUAAGAGUGUAUUACCUAAUGCUUAAUCGCUGUUUGAUCUUGUUCAUCUUCUGUUUGUCUUAAUGAAUCUGAUCGUGUCGGUCGGCUCUAGUCGGAUGUUGAGACCUCCAUCUAUCAUUCGGAUCCAAUCGGUACAACUUUUGUUACAAAUUAAAUACACUAAAAGAAAAUGAUUAAAUAAAAUCAAUUUUUGAGACAAAAUAUAAUUAGUUGCUAUAUUGAUUAAAUUAGAUAUUAUUUUAGAGAUUAAAAAAAUUAUUGAUAUCUAAAUUUGUUUUUAUUAUUGAUAAAUAGUUUCUAAAUUGGUAUCUACACUACAAUAAAAAAUUGUUUUAACAGAGGUUUAAUUUUACAUUACCAAAGGUUAAAACCUUCGUUAAGUCAUUUAUCCUAGGUUGCAGUUCCUACGCUAAAUCAUCUAUGGGGAACGUGUUACCUGGGGUGUUUUAAAACCCCUAAAAAAAUCAGUAUUAACCUUAGUUAAAUACAAUUGGUUUAAGAACCUCCAUAAAAUACCAUGGGUUUGAGAACCUCCGUAAAUACCAUGGGUUUCAUAGCCUCUUUAAAAUAUUAUGGGUUUCACAACCUUUAUAAAAUACUAUGGGUUUUAAAACCUUCGUAAAAUAGUAAAAGUUUCAGAACCUCCGUAAAAUAUCAUGAGUUUUAAAACCUCUAUAAAAUAUCAUAGGUUUCACAACUAUAAACAUUCAUGUGCUUUAUGUAUUUUUUGAAUCAUUUAUCAUUUAAGCAUUUACGUGCUUUUUAACCAAAAUUAAUAAUUUUUUCGUGCAAUACUUGUUCCAAUUCUCACAACCUCUAAACUAAUAUGAGUUUCAGAACUUCCUUAAAAUAGCAUAGGUUUCACAACUAUAAAUAUUCAUGUACUUCCUGUGUUUUUUUUACUUAUUUAUCAUUUAAACAUUCAAGUGUUUUUUUAACCAAAAUUAAUUACAUUUAUUGUAUUUAUUUAUGUUUUAAAGUACUUUCUUAAUGACAUUAAAAUGUUUUAAGUUAUAAAAAAAUAUUUUUUAUCCACUUAUAUUAUUAUUUCGUGCAAUUCUUGUUCCAAUUUUUACGACCUUUAUAAAAUAAUAUAUAUUUAAAAAUCUUUGUAAAAUAUCACAUUAUUUUAAAACUUCAUAAAAUAUCAUAACUUUCAAAACUAUAAUAAUUCAUGUGCUUAUGUGUUUUGUUUAUCAUUUAAACAUAUACGUGUAACCAAAAUUAAUUUUAUUUAUUUAUUUAUCUUUUAUAAAGUACUUUUUAAUGACAAUAAAAUAUCAUAAUUUAUAAUAAAUAUUUUCUUAUCAACUUGAAUUAUUCUUUCGUACAUGUUCCAAUUUUCACAACCUCUCAGAUAGUACAAGUCAACAUUGUAUUGUAUUGUGUGUAUCUUUAAUUUGCUGUAUAAUUAAUUAGUAAUGCAGAAUGAGGCAUUUAUAAGCAUUGGAAGUCAUCAGUAUUUGUAAGCUAGGUGUAUUUUUGUAUACGUUUCUUAGAUUUUUGUUUUCAAAUACAGACGUAUGUAGUUUCUGUUCCAAGAUAUUUAGAGAUUACGUGAAUGAUUUCAAAAUAGAAAAACAAUACCUCUUUAAUACCACACUUCAUUACAUAUAUAUAUAUAUAUAUAUAUAUAUAUAAUAACUUAUUUUAAUUAAUAUAUAAUAAUAAAUAAUAAUCAUAUGAUUUUAGUAGAAUGGUUCUAGAUAGUAAAAAGCUCUUAAAUUCAAUUUUGCUAGAACUCUGUUNNNNNNNNNNNNNNNNNNNNNNNNNNNNNNNNNNNNNNNNNNNNNNNNNNNNNNNNNNNNNNNNNNNNNNNNNNNNNNNNNNNNNNNNNNNNNNNNNNNNGUAAAACUUCCAACCAUUUGCCAUUAAAUUAACAAUACAAGUUUUAUUAAAUUUUUUUUAAAAAAAAUUAAAAUAAAUUUAGUGGGACACUUUAAGGAUGUUCCAACCCUUUUACAAAUCCAUUAAGCAUCUAGCUUAGAUGCUUAAUAAACAUAUACCACGAACAAAUCAGGUUCAGGUGCAUAGAAGCCCCUGUGAACAACUAACAAUAUCUAAGUUUCUAGACGUAGCACAAAACAGGGACCCAGGCAUCAACACAGCAGCUUAAAAGCACCCCCUUAAGACAAAAAAUCAUGCUAAAUUAUGGAUUCUAAUUGUUGUUUGCACGGUCCUAAACAAGAACACGAAGUAGCAAGUUUGCAAAGUCAAACCAGUAAUUGCCACCUCAACCAACUCCUUGCACACAACUCCUAUUUCAGGUCACGUUACCCAUCCACUUACAGAUGCUUAGUCUAGCAUAAAGUGCAUACCAAGUGCUCACCAGAAAAAUCUUAGAAGAGCCAAAUAACCUGAUAUAACACAACACGGUAUCUUCAUUGCUCCUUCACGGCUUUGGACAUACCUUGAUGGAGAUCAAGUAGAAGAGGAUUUCACUAAUGGAGGAAGGCCUUCCACCCAAGCAUUUAAAGUUCUUCCUUCUAGUUUUCUCAAAAAUAAAGAAGAAAUUAAAUAAAGAGAGGACCAAACUUAAAAGAAGACUACAAGCAUUCAAAAAUGGGCUCCAAUUAAUAUCUCUCUUUGUAAUUUUCUUUUGUAUAAAAUUGUAAAACAUAUAGGAGUAGUGUUUAGGAAGGUGCUAAGAGGGAAACCAAAAGACACCUCCUUUGUAUAACACUUUAGACGCUAGUUUUGGUAGAAAGAGACUAGAAAAGUGCCUUUUCACACUCCUUCUCUCUUUAGGCGCUAGAUUGUCCUAGAAGGAAUUAGAAGGUGACCUUUCAAGCUUCCUUCUCUUUUGUAAAUUUGUGACUAGCCCUCUCUAUUAUAAAAGGGGUGCUUGGGUCUUUGAAAUAAGAAGUUAAGAUUGAUUUUUGAGAGUAAAGAACCUCUACCAAAUUGGUGAGUGAUUGAGAGAGACUUGUGUCUUCUUCUCUUCUAGUCUUAUCUUGAGUGAAUUCUUGGGCUCUCAAGUGACGGCAACAACACUCAUCUUGAAGCCAACCAUUUUUCAAGUGGCGUGCACAAUUCCAAGAGCUCCAACCACAUAAGUUUCCUUGUCCUUUUCAUCUUCUUCUUCCAUUUCCAUUCAAAAAACAAACUCUAAAACAUGUCUUUGUUGUUUCUUGUUGAUUCAAUCGAUAGAACUUGUUUAGUUUGUGUUCAUGUUCUGUAGAUUGUCUUAGUUUGCUGUUCUUAUGGUUUUAAGUGUGUUUCUUGAAGUUUUAAUCGGUGCAUUUGUGUUCUUCUUUGUUACAUUCGGUUCAUAUGUCCAAAAACGGGUUUCUAUGUGAGUUUGGCUUGGUUCUUGUGAUUUGGUGAGUUCUUGAAUGAUUAAGAAGAUUGAUCCAAUUCUUAAAAAGUGCCUAAUCAUAUUCCAACUCUUAUUGAAUCCAUAACAUGUUCAUAUCAUAUCCCAAUCAUGUUCUUUGGUUCACAUCAUGUGGUAUCACAUCAUGUGGUAUCAUGAGUCUUAGGUGUGUUCUUGUGUGUUAGAGUUGUUUUUUGACACUUUUAAUUCAAGAAAUUUACAUUAGCAUUCUGUUUUUACUGUUUCUUUGGUAUUUCUUGUUGUUUUCUUGUUCUUAAUACAUUGUGUUUGUGUCAUUUUGAUUUUUGAGUCUCUAUAAGUUUUGUCAAAGUCAUGUUUCUCCAAAAAUGUUAUCAAUUCUAUGUAGUCCUUUUGUUGAUAAUUUUGGUUUCUUGAUUUUUUAUUGAGUGCAGUUUUAUGUGUUUUUUUCUUGAUCCUUUGGUGCCUUUUCUUUUUAUAUUUGAGUUCUUACUUGUAUUUUAGAUCUAUACAAGUUCUUGAAACAUCAAUUCUAUUAUGUCUUUUGAAGUUCUCAAUUCUGUUUUUCAUUCCAAUUAGGUUUCCUCUGUUUUCUUGAAAAUGUGCUGACUGUUUCGAUUUAUUACAAUUUCUGUGAUUACUAGAAAAUUCUGAAAUUCUGGAUUUGAGUUUUUGAGAGUGUUAUAAAAUAGUAGAAAAAAGAAGUCAGUCAAAAUUCCAAGUACAAAAAAAUGAUAAAUCAAAUAUGUCCAGUGUGUAAUUCUGGCACAAAAAAAUACGGUAAAGUGGCAGUAAUUUUGCAAAAUUUAUCACAAUUAAUUGGCGCAAUAUUUUGUGUGAUUCCAGUGCCAUUGUUGAGAUAAGAUCUUCAACUUUCAUUGGUUUAAAUUUUCAGCUCCAGUUAAAUCUGUAAAGUCACGCACAGUUUACAUAAAAUUCCAGUAGUUCUGUUUUUUUUUGUUUUCUUCAUCUAUUCUAGUGCUUUUCUUUAGGUUUCUUUUGAGUGCCAUCUUUUAAUUGAGUAUCUUUUUUUUUUAUUGUCUUUUCUUCACUAUUCUUUGAGUUUGUCAUAUAUCUUGUAUUCCUUUUGCUAUAGCCUUUUCUUGUUUACACCUUUUCUUGAUUGUCUUUUAUUGUUCUUUAAGUUUUGUGGUGUAUUGGCCUUAAGAGAGAGUACUUUGCUUUGACAUUUUUCAUUUGAGAGUACCAAAACUUCAACAACAGAUUGGUUGAGGGAAGUAUUCUUUCUUGGAGUAAUUUCAGUGUCUUUUAAUUUUCAUUACAGUACCAUAACUGUUCCUUUUUCUAACCUUGUUUUUCUUGAAAUUGUUUGUUCUUGUGUUUGCUGUUUUCUUUUUCUAAUGAUUGCAUAUUCAAGUGGUGACUCUUCCAAACCACACUCUCCUCAUAGAGCUUAUAUUCUUAAUGAAUUAAAAGAGGCAAAAUGUGUCCUUGCUCUAAAGGACGAAGCUAUGAAAAAGUUGGAGGAAAAAUUACAAAAAGUUGGAUUGAAGCAAGAUAGGUCAUCUGCUUCCAUCCAUGGAAGCCACCAUUCUCAUAGACAUUCUUCAAGAGGUUCUUUCAAUGCUCACGACCAUGAAGAAGAACAUAGAAGGAGGAGACAUCACCAUCAUUCUCAUGGAGAUAGACAUCACCGUGAAGAAGGACAUCACCAUGAAGAAGUCUCAUUUAUCUUUUGUAAAAAUACCUAGCUUUAGUGGUAAUAGUGAUCCUAAUGUGUAUUUAGAUUGGGAAGCUAAGGUUGACCAUAUUUUUCAUGUGUAUAAGGUCCAAGAUGACCAAAAACUUAGGACAGUUUCUUUACACUUUUUGGACUAUGCCAAAGAAUGGUGGCAUCAAACUCUUAGGGACAUUGGUUAUAACAAGAGGCCUCUCGUGGUCUCUUGGAAUGAUUUGAAAAAGUGUAUGCGCGCGAGGUUUGUUCCUCCUUCUAGGAAGGAACACUUGUUGAAGUUCCAAAGGCUUCCUCAAGGACAUAGGACGGUAGAUGAAUACUUUAAAUCUUUUGAAACAACUUUGACUAAAAUGAAUAUGCAUGCUAAUGAAGAGUCAAAGAUAAAAUGGUUUGUAAGUGGUUUGAAAAGAGAUAUUAGAGAAUUUGUAGAAUUAAAUGAGUAAUCUUCUUUAAAGAAAGUGGUUCGCCUAGCCAUCAAGGUGGAAUCAUACCUUUUAAAAACAACUUUCAAACAUACUCAUGAUGAUGGUUUCUACAAAUCUUCAAAGAAGGAUGAAAACAUACUUUUGCCUAAACCUUCUCCUUCAAAUUUUUCAAACGCUACCUUUUCUAACCAACAAGUUUCUACAAAGAAUUCUUCUACAUCUCCUAAGUCACCUAUCAAACUUCAAAAAUAAAAUGUUUUAAAUGUUUAGGUUUUGGGCACAUAGCUCUUCACUGUCCACAAAAACGAACCUUAAUGAUAAACAAGGUAAAACAAGACCUAACUCAACCACCUACCAAAAGUGAAAAUGAAAAAGACAGAAAGGGCCAAGUUGACAUAGGUCUUAUCCUUUCACCUCCAAGGUGUUUUCCUUCCUUAUCUUUUUUAUUACCAAAGGUUCUAACUUCACCACCAUCUUGGUUAAAGAAUGUUAGGAAUGAUUUUUUCAUACCUCCUAAUGGUUUUCACCAUUUAAGAGGACUUUUUCCAAAAAAUAUCAUCAUUCCCAAACAAUUUUUUCCAACUUUGUUUGUCUAUAGGACCUCCUUUUUUGAACUCCCACCGUUUACAAAUUCUAAGUCAUGUUUGCCUUUCUCUUAUUCAACUGUUAAUUUUUAUAGUAAACUGACUUUGUUAUAUGCAGGGAUUCAGAAUUCGUGGACGAAUUCUCUCCAACUCGGGGAGUAUGAUGGAGAUCAAGUAGAAGAGGAUUUCACUAAUGGAGGAAGAGGCCAUCCACCCACUUCUAGUCUUCUCAAAAAUAAAUAAGAAAUUAAAUAAAGAGAGGACCAAGCCUAAAAGAAGACUACAAGCAUUCAAAAAUGGGCUCCAAUAAAUAUCUCUCUUUGUAAUUUUCUUUUGUAUAAAAUUGUAAAACAUAUAGGAGUAGUGUUUAGAAAGGUGCUAAGAGGGAAACCAAAAGACACCUCUUUUGUAUAGCACUUUAGGCGCUAGUUUUGGUAGAAAGAGACUAGAAGAGUGCCUUUUCACACUCCUUCUCUCUUUAGGCGCUAGAUUGUCUUAGAAGGAAUUAGAAGGUGACCUUUCAAGCUUCCUUCUCUUUUGUACAUUUGUGACCAGCCCUCUCUAUUAUAAAAGGGGUGCUUGGGUCUUUUGAAAUAAGAAGUUAGUAAAGAACCUCUACCAAAUUGGUAAGUGAUUAAGAGAGACUUGUGUCUUCUUCUCUUCAAUUAUCUUGAGUGAAUUCUUGGGCUCUCAAGUGGCGACAACAACACUCAUCUUGAAGCCAACCAUCCUUCAAGUGGCGUGCACAAUUCCAAGAGCUCCAACCACAUAAGUUUUCUUUGUCCUUUUCAUCUUCUUCUUCCAUUUUCAUUCAAAAACCAAACUCUAAAACAUUUAUUUGUUGUUUCUUGUUGAUUCAAUCGGUAGAACUUGUUUAGUUUGUGUUCAUGUUUGGUAAAUUGUCUUAGUUUGCUGUUCUUAUGGUUUUAAUUGUGUUUCUUGAAGUUUUAAUCGGUGCAUUUGUGUUCUUCUUUGUUACAUUCGGUUCAUAUGUCCAAAAACGGGUUUCUAUGUGAGUUUGGCUUGGUUCUUGUGAUUUGGUGAGUUCUUGAAUGAUUAAGAAGAUUGAUCCAAUUCUUAAAAAGUGCCUAAUCAUAUUCCAACUCUUAUUGAAUCCAUAACAUGUUCAUAUCAUAUCCCUAUCAUGUUCUUGGGUUCACAUCACACCUGCUACUCUUCAACCUGUAUUACACACAUAUUCUCCCAGCAUGUACCUAAUCAUAUUCCAACUCUUAUUGAAUCCAUAACAUGUUCAUAUCAUAUCCCUAUCAUGUUCUUGGAUUCACAUCACACCUGCUACUCUUCAACCUGUAUUACACACAUAUUCUCCCAGCAUGUACCUUACCCUGUUUUUGUGUAUGCCUUUGAAAAUAGGCACUCUCACCCUGUCCAGCCUUUCCCUGCACCAAACCAGCAUCCCAGAUGUUCCUGAACCAUCAAGGCCUCCCAGACUUGGCCACCGAACCAGUAUAGAUGCUCCAGUAACCAACAAGCCUGCUUUACGUUCUUACUUUUCCAAACUCCAUAGUUCCACCCACCAGCCAAUUCCCAUCCAGCACAUGUUCCUUCAGCAUACCAGAAAAAGAGAAUAUAUUACAACACCCUCAACUUCAGCAGCUUUGCAAGCACUUGCCAGGAUUGAGAAUCCAAUCCGAGAAAGCAUAACUAAAGGAGGAUUGCCCCAUACUUCAGCUUCAGCCACACUGAGAGUUGGGCUAGGUGGAAAAUUUCUUCAGCAUCGGCUAUCCCUUUCUUAAAGAUAGCCAAAUUUCUCUGAUCCCAUAUACACCGGACUAUAGCGACCCAAAUUCCCUUCCAUACCUGAUUCUGUUUAGCAUUAAAAUGAGGCAGAUAAAAACUCUCAAAAUGGUCAAAAAUGUCCUUAUGUUGGACAAACAAGAUGCCUAUCCAUCUUAAGCAUAGGGACCAAACACGUUGUGCAUAAAUACAAUCCAGAAAAAGAUGUUGGGUUGUUUCUUGUGCUACCUUACAGAGCGCACAUAGAGAAGAGUUUACAACCAAACCCCUCCGAAUAAGAUUAUCAUAAGUUGGAAGUCUGCCAAGCAAAAUCCUCCAUGCAGUAAAUAACGCUUUUGGGUGUCGCUUUAGCUUGCCACCAAAGGGAGAAAAUGUCAUGCGAGGAGUUAUUAAGUUGACUACACAAAGUCAAAUAUGCAGAUUUCAUAGAGAACACACCAUUAUGGUCCCCAUUCCAUACUAAAGCAUCCUUGAUUUCCUUACACAAACUCUUCCCUGUAAUGAGAUUGAGCAAUUCUCCCUCCAUAGAGCUUUCCCAAUUGAAUCUAGGCCUUCUCCACCUUAAACGGCAGUUCCAUCCUAAAUCCUCCCAAGUGCCUACUUCAGCCACCGUCUUUCCUUGGUCCAAAGAAACGGAAAACAGCCUAGGGAACAGAGUUAUAAGCUUGUUAUUCUCCAACCAAACGUCUUCCCAAAAUUUGACUUUGUCACUGACUCCGACCUUCCAUCCAAAGGAUUUAUGGAACCAUCCAUCGCCUUCUCCCUUAUCACAUGCCCUAGAUAGAUCUCUCCACCACCAAGAAAGAUAGUUACCAGAAUCUUGACUUCUUACUCCACUCGUACAAUACUUAGAUGCUAGAAUCUCUUUCCAUUUCCCUUUUUCCUCACUCAACAUCCUCCAUUUCCAUUUUGUUAGCAAGGCACAGUUAAACAUUUUAAUAUCCUUGACCUUUAAACCCCCUUCCUCCUUUGAUUUACACACAUUUUCCCACCGAAUCCAAGAUAUAUGUUUGUGAUCAUUACCCCAUGCCCAAAGGAACAUCCUCUGAAUGCUAGAAAUUUUAUUAAACACUGAUAUCGAGGCUUUAAAGAAGGACAAAUAAAACAGGGGUAUGGAAGUUAAGACCGAUUUAACCAAACAUACUCUACCUGCUAGUGACAAGCAUUUCCCCUUCCAAGCACUAAGUCUAGCUUUAACUUUAUCCACUACUGGAUCCCAAAACUGCAUCCUCCUUGGGUUGCCGCCUACUUGUAACCCCAGGUAUUUAAAAGGAAUCUGCAUUGCGCUACAAUUAAGAGCUCUUGCAUAAGUUCCUAACAAAUUCCUUCCAACCUUAAUACCUGACAGCUUUGACUUAUGGAAGUUAACUUUGAGACCUGAAGCCAACUCAAAAACCCUGAGAAUCGCCUUAAUUGUUAAGAUGUUGGAGUAAGAGUCUUCGCACAUAAACAGGGUGUCAUCAACAAACUGUAACAUACAACAUUCAAUCUCAGCUCUCCCCACUUUCACUCCUCUUAAUAGGUUCUCCUUUAAAGCGCUACGUACUAGACCAGCUAGACCUUCAACAACAACAAGGAAAAGAAAAGGAGCCAUAGGAUCGCCUUACCUCAGACCCCUGGAUGACCUAAAUUCCUCCAUCGGACUACCGUUAACCAAGACAGACAUUGUUGUCGACUUCAAACAGCCUUGUACCCACUUAAUCCAUUUCAUGUGAAACCUCAUCCUAUGCAACAUAUCCAACAGAAAACUCCACCUGACCGAAUCAUACGCCUUUUCAAAGUCCACCUUAAAAAACACUUCACUUUUCUGACUUCUUUGUACCUCCUCGAUCACCUCAUUGGUCAUCAAUACACUUUCCAACAUUCCCCUAUCUUUCAGAAAAGCUGAUUGAUUUUCAUCAAUAACCAGAAGUAGAACAACCUUAAUACGACACAACAUCGCCUUAGUAAUGAUCUUAUACAGGGCUCCCAUAAGAGAAAUGGGUCUGAACUGGUCAAUCACAAUAGGGUCUUUUACCUUCGGAACAAAAGUAAUAAAAGACGCAUUGCACCCCUUCGGAAAGCUCCCUGAUUCAUGAAAAGAAUGCACCGCUUCCAUAAUAUCCUUCUUUAAAGUCUCCAAAUUGCUUUUUAUGAAGUUGAAAUAAAAACCAUCUGGACCCGGCCUCUUAGAUCCCUCACACUACCACACUGCGUCCCUUACUUCCUCCUCAGAAAACACAUGGGUUUCACAACCUUCGUAAAAUACUAUGGGUUUUAAAACCUUCGUAAAAUAGUAUAAGUUUCAAAACCUCCGUAAAAUAUCAUGGGUUUUAAAACCUCCAUAAAAUAUCAUAGGUUUCACAACUAUAAAUAUUCAUAUGUAUUUUUUGAAUCAUUUAUCAUUUAAGAAUUCACGUACUUUUUUAACCAAAAUUAAUUAUUGUUUCGUGCAAUACUUGUUCCAAUUUUCACAACCUCUAAGCUAAUAUAAGUUUCAGAACCUCCGUAAAAUAGCAUAGGUUUCACAACUAUAAACAUUCAUGUGCUUCAUGUGUUUUUUUACUUAUUUAUCAUUUAAGCAUUCAAGUGCUUUUUUAACCAAAAUUAAUUAUAUUUAUUGUUUUUAUUUAUUUUUCAUAAAGUACUUUCUUAAUGACAGUAAAAUGUUUUAAGUUAUAAAAAAAUAAUUUUUUAUCAACUUAAAUUAUUGUUUCUUAAUGACAGUAAAAUGUUUUAAGUUAUAAAAAAAUAUUUUUUUAUCAACUUAAAUUAUUGUUUCGUGUUUGUUCCAAUUUUCACGGCCUUAGUAAAAUAAUAUAUAUUUAAAAAUUUCUGUAAAAUAUCACAUUAUUUUAAAAUCUUCAUAAAAUAUCAUAAGUUUCACAACUAUAAUCAUGCAUUCAUGUGCUUAUGUGUUUUGUUUAUCAUUUAAAUAUAUAUAUAUAUAUAUAUUAAUCAAAAUUAAUUAUAUUUAUUUAUUUAUUUUUUUAAAGUAUUUUUUAAUGACAAUAAAAUAACUUAAUUUAUAAUAAAUAUUUUUUAUCAACUUGAAUUAUUGUUUGGUAUAAUACUUAAAUACUUGUUCCAAUUUUACAACCUCCCUGAAAUAAUAUAAGUUUGUGUUGUGUGUUAUCUUUAAUUUGCUGUAUAAUUAAUUAACAAUGCAGAAUGAGGCAUUUAUAAGCGUUGGAAGUCAUCAGUAUUUGUAAGCUAGGUGUAUUUUUGUAUACGUUUCUUAGAUUUUUGUUUUCAAAUACAGACGUAUGUAGUUUCCGUUACAAGAUAUUUAGAGAUUACGUGAAUGAUUUCAAAAUAGAAAAACAAUACCUCUUUAACACCACACUUCAUUACAUAUAUAUAUAUAUCUACUUAACAACUAAUCUUUUAAUAAAAUAUUAUAUAAUAAUAAAAUAAUAAUCAUAUGAUUUUAGUAGAAUGGUUCUAGAUAGUAAAAAGCUCUUAAAUUCAAUUUUGCUAGAAAUCUGUUUUUUUUUUAUCUUUUUUCUUAGUAAUAUCUUUUGCAACAAUAUCUAAUCAAUCCUUUUUUUCUCAAUUGUUUUGGUUUAUAUAAUCAUAAUCUUUCCCAUUUAUUCGAUGUUCUAUAAUUUCCUGAGAAAAAGGAAAACAUAAAUACUUAAGUUUAAUUUUCUUGACAUGUUUAAAGAACUAGAAAAAGAAAAAACACUAGGGAACAAUGGCAAUAAAAAGAUAAAGGUAAAACUUCCAACCAUUUGUCAUUAAAUUAACAAUACAAGAUAUUUUUUUAUCGGCAAUAAACAAUAAAUAAUAUAUGAAUAAUUUUAGGGGUGAUUCAACCCUUAUAGAAGAACUCACCCAUAUUCUUCAUCACAAGACUUAGUUCAAAGUCUGCCAAGACAGAACUCUCCUAGCUAACCUAGAGGAAGACCUCUAGGGGAAACUGUCAAACAGCUUGAAUGAAUACGUCAUGAGAUCAUCCUCAUACAAACCAACGGAUGUACACACCAAUCAGAAAAGGAAAAAUUCGCAAACUGUGACUUGGAUGUAACCCAUGACCAAGCCUUUAAUUAAACCAAAUCAAAAGCUUCCAGAACAUCCACUACUCCCCCGUUAAAAAUAACCCUUUUUCUAAGCUUCCAAACCUUGUUGACUAUUGCGAUCCAAACAACACCCGAACCUCAUUCACCGAACCAGACGCAUUGUUCAACCUAAACUGGGAAAAAUUUAAUAAUGGAGCGUUGUGAAACACGCUCAGCACGCCCAACCAUGCACAACAAUGGUUCCACAAUAACCAAGCAAAUCUCCAAUAAAAGAACAAAUGGGUGCUAGUCUCCUCCUCAACCCACAAAGGCUACACGUGGAGCUUGCAGCAAUGAUCUCGCGCCUUUCCAGGUUAGUCUUAGUGGCUAACUUGUUUUCCAACACCCUCUAAGUCGUAACCAAAGCAAUAGGUGCAACUUUACUCUUCCAAAACUUUUUAAACAUCGUCGCAUUCUCCCCUACUCCAUCCUCCCUUAGACGGAGGUAUGCCGAUUUAACUGUGUACCCAAACUCCUCUCCUUCCUUUCAGACCCACCUGUCCUCCUUAUCCAAGUCGAAAUUCACACCUUGGACUUCCUGAAAAAGUCGUUAUGCUAAUUGCUUCUCCCAUUCAAAUAGAUUCCUUCUCCAAACAAAAUUCCAGACCCAAUUUUCGUUGAUCAAUCCCAAAAAACAGUCAUCGCAGAAGCUUUUGUCACACUCAGGGAAUACAACCUCGGGAAAACCGUCUUCAAAGGCCUUCUCCUACCCAAUUAUCUUCCCAAAACAAAACUUCCUUCCCAGUUCCCACCUUCCAUAUUAAGGCUUCUUCGAAAUUUCGGCCCCAACCCUCCAAGCUCCAGACCUCCUUCAAGUCUUUCCACCAAUGAGAGUCUUUACUAUCUUUCCCUCCCUCUCUCAAACUUCUCCACCCCCCAUACUUGGAAACAGUAAUCUCCUUCCACAAACCACCCUUAUCUGACCCCAACCGCCAUACCCAUUUACCAAGUAACACCAAAUUGAAAGUCCUUAAGUCAAUAAUCCCAAGACCUCCGCGAGCUGCACACACCUUUUCCCAGGAGGCCCAAACGACCUUUCUUCCAUCCGAUCCCAACCCCCAUAAGAAAUCCCUUUUGAUUUUCACGAGCUCGUUUGCCACCACCACCGGCAUUUUAAAUAAAGAUAGGUAAAACAAUAGAAUGGUAGACAAUACUAACUUUAUUAAACAAAUCCUACCUGUCAAAGACAAGAAUCUGCCUUUCCACCUACUUAAUCUUUUCUUCAUUCUAACAAUCACUCCAUCCCAAAACGGCCUUCUCUUAUGGCACCCUCCUACCGACAAACCCAAGUACAGAAAAGUGGUUAUCAUUACAUAUUUAGGAAUUAUAUGUUCGGUUUUAUUAAAAACUAAAGUUUCUUAUACAAUAUUAAAAUAAUAAUUUAUUAAGUUACGAAAAAUUGUCAGAUUUGUUUCAAGAAUUUAACAAACAAACAAUUUGUUAUUUACAAAUUACGUCUUUUAAGUUUAAUUUGUUUUUUAAUUAUUAUUAUUUACGAAUUAUAUAUUCAAUUUUAUUGGAAAUUGAAAAUUUUGAUAUAUAAUGUUAAAUGAGAAUUAAUUGUUGUAACAUCCCUAAUUUUACCCAUAUAUGAUAAAAUAAAAGUAAAACAAACACUAUCUACUUAACAUAUGAAUAUACAUGACUAUCUCAUAAUUGUAUCUAAAAAAAAAUAUCCUUUUAUUACCUACAAUCUCAUCUGCUCCCGUGUACAACACGAUCAUCACAAAUAAAGAAACAAACACAAACAAAUAACAGCGUAAGCUAGCUAUAACAAAAUUUUCUAUAUAAUUUAAAUUUCAAAUUGAUACACAAAAUUCAUAAAUUUUCAUACAAUUUCUCAAACAUUUCACAUAAUCAUCAAGUGUGUAUCACGUUCAUCAUCCACAUUACUCCUUUCAGAUUUCUACUGACUCACAUACUCAGACACUUGACUCUACUUCCAGAAGACUCGUGUAUUGACAUUAGCAUCCAGAGACCUGCACCUGUCAUACUACUGUUGUGAAACCCACACAGCCAUGAGCAUAAUUAUCUCAAUAUCUCAUCAUUUCAUCAUCUUCAUAUGACAGGAUAAAUCCAUUUGAUCUGCUCUGAUCAAUUCUUUCAAACCUCAGACUCAGCCAAAUGGACCUCCUUCGACUCUCACCAACUGAAUAACUUCAUCUAUGUUAUUCCAUUAUAUCAGUAGAGUCAGGAUCGUCUCAUUCACAGGACACUCACAAAUCAAUACACCCUAAUAACAAUCUCAACACAGUAUUUCCUUUCCUGAAAAUACUAUGUCUUGAUCACACUUUAACCUCAUUACAUACAUCAUUUAACAUAUCAAUGCACUACUCAAUCACAUCAUUAUUUAAACUUUCUAAACAAUCCAAAUAUAUCUCAAACUUUACUUAAACACAUAAUUGAUUCCAAAUAUAUGCUCUUUAAAUCAAUCAUCAUCUAAAAUCAAACAACCACUUCUCAUCAAACAUUCAAACAUCUCACUUAAGUAAUUCAAUAAAAUAUUCAAAAAAGAACAGUUCAACUCAUUUAUAUUAUCAUUCAAACACUUUCAAUUCUUAAUCACAAACACUUUCAACAAUUUAUUCACCUUAAAAUCAAUAUAAAAGAUUCAAAAUCAACCAUUCUAGUCAAUAUAUUAUUUUACAUUUCAAAAGAGACAAUCCUAUAAGUAAAUAUUGGAAUUGGUGACCACGUCAUCCUCAUAUCACGAUCUUUUAACCUAGGGUUCUAUUGAAAAGAAUAAGACUAGCUUCCCUUACUUGGACUUGAGCAGAUGCUCACUAAGAGCUCUAACCCACCAAAAGCUUAAGAUAACCCAACCUGCACCACAAAGUCCUGAUCACAAAUCUAACUAUAUCACUAUGACCCUAAUCUAACAUAGACUAAUUCUGAAGAUAAAAACCUCACAUGCAAACUUAACUAAAAGAAAACCCUAACCAAAUCAAAACUAACUCCAAAGAAAAUGAGCCAAGAAUGAACUUACUCUAUCUAAGAUUCUGAUCGGGCAAUCUCGUAGAGUUCACUGCCAGGAGUCCAAUGGCAGAAUCUGAUCAUCAAACUGGUGAACGAGCAGGUCAGAAUCAUAAAGAGAAGGGAGAAGAAAGGAAAAAGGAACAAAAAUGAACUUACUCUAUGCAAGAUUCUAAUCGGGCAGUCUUGUAGAUCUCGCUGCCAGGAGUCUAAUGGUGGACUCCGAUCGUUAAACAGAUGAGCGAGGAGGUCAAAAUCUUAGAGAGAAGGGAGAGGAAAGGAAAAAGGAAACUUCUAGAGAGAUGGUGGUUCUUUUAAAAUGAGACCUGAAUAACUAAUUUUUUAUUUAUAUAGUUUUUUCACUUUAAUAAUAAAAUAUUUCGGUGUCAUUUUAAUUGUAUCAUUUAUACUCUAAGACUAUUUUCUCGGUCCUUACAAUUAUCAAAUUGAUUCACUCUCUAUACGUGUGAAUAAAUUAUAUAUAUAUAUAAUAAUUUUUAUUUAAUUAAUAGAAUGAGUAAUUAAUUUAAAAUUAAAUUAGUACCUAUUUUCUAUCUUUUUAUUGUAAUAUUUUUUGUUCCAAUUAUCUAACUUAUAUGAUUUUUAUUCAAUAUUAUUUUAAAAUGGAUAAAUAGAAUUUAAAAAAUUAGAAAGUGCAAUCUAAAUUUAAUUUAUCAAACAAAAUAUAUCACUUACAACACACAAAGAUCAAAAUUAUUUUUAUAAAAUAAACUAAGAAAAAUUAAAUUUACUUUACCAUAAAUAUUUUAUUGAUUAUUUUGAAAAUUUUAAAAUAUUUUUUUAUAUGAUUAACAUAUUUUAAUUACUUAUAAAAAGUAAUUAAAUCAUCAACUUUAAAUUUUUAAAUUUAGUGUCUAAAUAUAAUUUUAGACAAAUAAUUAUAUAUUUCUUACAAAUUAUUUAACAUUUUAUUUUGUAAGGAUAAAUUUUAGACAGUAUCAUAAUUAAUAUAUGUAUAUAUUAAAAAAAUUAUAUAAUAAAUAUAUUACAAUUUUAUUAAAAUAUGGUCUAAUUUUGUUUAAAAUUUUGUCUCUAGCUACAUAAAUAUUAUUUUUUUAAAAUAAUUAUAUUAAUUGGAAAUAAGUGAAUUUUAUUACGAAUAAGUAUUAAUACUCAAUAAUACAUCAUGAUACGGAAAACUUUUCAAUAUAUAUAUUUUAUUUGGCAUGUUUUAUCAUAAAUGAAAUGUUCUAUAAUUAUUAUAUACAUUAUUAAUAUUUAUUUAUAUAUAAAAUUACUUAUGUUUUAAAUUUUAAGUUAAACAUUAAGGACUUGCUGGUUCAAAAAUAAUAAUAUAAAAAAUAUUUACUAUUUUCUAUAAUUAAAAUUUGUAAUUUUUUUAUGAAUAUAGACUUCAAAUUAUAUAUAUUAAAAUCACAAUUAUAAAUAUAUUACAACUAAAAUAUUAUUACUAAUUUAUAUAUUGUUUAUAUUUUGAUAUGAUUUAGUUACUUAUGUAUACAACAAUUUUUAAAAAAAUUAUAAAUUAUGUAUUAAGAACUUAAUAUACAUAUUUACAAAUUUUGAUAUAUAACAUAAUUGAAUAAUAAAUAAGAUAAAUAUGAUAUUGUUUUUACUUUUUUAUAAAUUUUAUUUCAUACCUUAAAUCAACUAUAUCUUAUAAUUAUAUUUAGAAAAUUAAUUUUUAUUAAUAGUAAUAUGGUUCUUUGUAAGUCUCUUCUUUUGACAAGAUAUGAAGUCAAUGUUAAUAAAAAAUAUUACAACAAGGUCAAAUUCAAUAAAUUAUUUCUUAAAAUAUAUAAAAAAAAAUUUAGAUAAAGUCCUACAUUGAAAUUAGUGUUACUUCUACAUAUUCUACCUAAAAACCAUAACAACUAAUUAUUAAUGAAAUAAAGAUUGUUACUACUUAUUACAUUUAGAAUUUAUUUAUUUAUAAAUUUGAAUUAUUUAUAUUUUAAAAUUAUUUAAUUAUUUAUUAUAAUUAAUAUAUAAUAACUAAUAUAUAAUUAUUUGUUUAUAUAAGAUAUGUUUUAUAUAUUUUAUAGGUUUCAAAAUCUACACAUUACAUUAUAUCAAAUUAUUCUUAAAAUAAUAAUAAUUCAAAUUAAUAUAUACAAUUCUGUAAUAUUUUUUAUUAUAAUUAUUUUAUGAUAUAAUAAUAUGUUCCUGAUGUCUGUUUUAAUAUAAUAAAAUGUUUUUUUCAAUAAUAAUAAUAAUAUAUAAACCAAAAUUAUUUAUUUUUAUUUUUUAAAUUAUUUUAUUUUUAUCAAACUAAAUAUAUAUAUAAUAAAUAUUCUACAUUUUUAAAACAAAGUUUACAAAUUCUGCUUUUUUUAUAUGUUUAUUUAUUAUAAUUAUGUUAUACUUUUUGUGCAACCUAACCUCAGUUCUAUUUUUUUACUGUAUUUUGUAUAAUAAUGUUAUGUUAUUACUGUUAUUAUCACAAAUUCAUUAAUAUAUAUUUCCAUUUUUUUACUGUACUAUUUCUGAUUUUAUUACUAUAUUACUUGCAAGGUGAUAUAAUGCUAUGAAAUUAUACAAGUAUUAUUACAUUUGAAAAUUAUUAUUAAUAUAAUAUUUUUUAAACAUAUUCUAUUGAGUAUGACGGUCUAUAAACAUGUUUUCUUUGGACAGUAUGAUAUGUAUAAAUCAUUCUUUCAUACUUCUUAUGUUACUGGUCUCCUAAUUGAUGUUAUUUAGACUUAAAUUUGUUUUUGUGUUUAUUUUGUAAGUCUAUCUUAAGUCAUUUGUUGUAUGACAUGUAUGACAUUAAGUUUCAUAUUUCUUAAUUCUGAAAUUGUGGCAGCUAAAGAAAAGAAACUUAGAAUUUCAUUAUUUUACUUUUUUUUUAUUAUGUUAUGUUUUGUGAAUAAUUGGAACGUUUUUAAAAAUAAAUAGGAUAUGAAAUGAAAUGCAAAGUGAUAACAAGUAUAAUAUAUUUCAAGGUGUAGAUUUGACAGUAACAAAUUCAAACUGUUCUAAUAGAUUAUGUUAUUUAUUAGUGAGAUAUUUAAACUUUUGUUCUAUACAAUUCCUUUAAGAUCGGGUAUGUUAUGCUCUAAGUGAUACUUUGCUGCCUUAAAAGUUAUUUAUUUAAGAGUGUAAUGUGUUCAAAUGUGAUAGCUAGAACUUUUCACUUCUUCAUUCUUACAUAUAUGUUUAUAGUUUUUUUUUUAUAAUGUUGAGUGUUGUCAUAUUAAAAAGGUCUUGACUCCAUCUUUACAUUGUCAACAUUAAAAAUUUGGCAGCUACACUAUUCUUUUUUAUCAUCUCUCAUUCUAUUUUUGAAUUUUUAAAAGUUGUGUCAAAUUUAAUAUUUAAUCAUUGUAAUUAUGACUCUCCAAUAUAAAUUUUAUUCAUUCUAAAUUUUGUAAUUUGUUAUUAUAUGUAGGAAUUGAAUUAUCAGUCAUAUUGCUUUUUCAGGUCUGAUUACAUAUAUAAAACAAUGUAAUUUUGUAACAUUUUUACAAAAAAGUCUCAUGCACACGGGUCACGUACUAGUUUUUUUAUUAACAAGAAAAAAAAAUAUAAAUCACUUUAAGGGUGGUCCAACCCUUUUACACAACACCUCACUCAGAAGCUUACCACAAAUAUCCUACUUGAUGAGCAACUAAAAAACAAGCCAUCAAAUCAAAAUAAAGACACAUAAGAAACAACCUAACACCUCAUCCUAACCUUUUAAAAAACAAAAGGCCUAGAGUUUCUAAGUUUCUUGAUCAAAUACAUACAAACUAGAGAAUCAAGGCAACAAUCAGAAUAAAAAAAAGCAUGUAGAGAAAAUUUAGAAGUAACCUAAGACCAUACCUUUAAUUGAACCAAGGAAAAUAUUUCAGAAUGAUCCUUCACUCCACCUCUAAAAAUGUGCUUAUUUCUGGGUCUCUACAUCUCACCAACAACUGCAGUACCAACGCUUCCUCAUACAACAUUGAUAUAAACAAGUACAUUAACAAGUUUGAAAUGCUAGUAGCGUGAAUAAGGAUCACAAUAAUCUACUGAAGUCAACCAUAACCAUGCAUAACAUUGGUUCCAAACGAGCAGAGACAAUUAAAAGCAAGAAAAACCCCUUUAUAAAUUAACUCUUCCCUCUUGCACUCCCGCCAACAAAAAGCUGCUACUCUUAUAAAAGUCCACUUUUGUUAACAUAAGAACGUCUCCUCAAACAUGCAAAACAUCUUGCUACAUCCUCCCUAAAGCAAGGGGUUAGCUAUACAAAUUCUUUAAAUCUAAAACACUACUUGUUAACAUAUAUCAUACAUUCUUAUUGUUCCAAACACUAUAUAUUCAGAAUAAGAGAACUCAGCAUAUUUUUCUUUACAUGUAAUCAAAGCUCGGGUUUUUCUAUGUACCACCGCAAAGACCUCUAAAUAAUAAGCUCUCCCAUUCUUAAAACUCUUAUGUUCCUAUUUUCCAUAUUUUACCUACCAAAGCAAUCCACAUCCCCUCAAACUCUGGAUAAUUGACCAUUCACAGUAACAGGGCAAAACAUCAAAAAAUGUACCUUAACAUCAAAGCGAUUCAUCGACAGACAACUCAGCCAAGACAAACACAAUUCCCAAACUUCCCAGGCAAAUUUACACUAAAAAAAGAGAUGACUAACAUUUUCCUCCUCCUCACGGCACAACCCAUAUAAACUAUUUACCAAGAUAACACCUUACCUCAAUAGAUUAUCCUUUGUUGCUAUACUAUUUUGCAACACCCUCCAAGCAAUAACUUGUGCAGAUGGGAGGGACUUGACCUUCCAAAACCUCUCAAAAAGGAUCAUAUCACCACCUCAAACCUCUUUCUUUAAAAGAAUUAUAAGCAGAUUUGAUGAAAAACCCAUUUUUUCAUCAUCCCUUCAAAUCCACUAGUACUUCACAAAUUGAAAUCAUAUUUUAGACAAUAAUAAUUUUAGAAAAAAAAAAUACAAUGGCUCUGCCUUAUCAGGAACAACAAAAAUGAUAUUGUUUCAAUUUUCUACUAGCACCGAUUAGCAAUAGAUACACUUUCCAGGAAAAUUCUAUACCUAAAACACUCACUAGUGUUUUAAGUAUAGAAUUUUCCUGGAAAGUGCAUCUAUUGCAAAUGGUAAGUAAAUAAUGUCUUUGGUUAUAAUAAUGGUGUUCCUUCCCAUUUUACAUCCUUUGUCACAAUUUCUAUGAAAGAAGAUUUAAGGCAAUAGACUCACUUGGAACACCAAUGUGAAUAAGAGAAACAUGUCUUAGAUAUAUGGUGUGCUAUCUAAACCUAAACCUAAACAGGAGGGUAAUAAAACUAUUGAAAUGAAGGAAACACUUAAGUCAUUAUUGGUAGAUAAAAGAAAACCUUCCCAUAAAGAGAGAGAGUUGAUCCACCAAAUUUUAGAAAAUAGAAUCAUAAAGAUCACUUGAUCAAAUAGUGUAUACAUAACAUAGAAACUGAGGACAACUUAUAGUCACAAUAACAAAAUAUUAAGGGUGGUCAUGGAUUGGAUUUUAGGUAAUUCGAUCUAAAUCCAAAUAUUUGGAUCUGAUUUAUAAUCCAAAUCCAUAUUUUUUAUAAAAACAAUUUGGAAAUCCAAAUCCAAAUAUUUGGAUUGGAUUUUAAAUCCAAAUAUUUGGAUUGGAUUUUAAAUCCAAAUUCAUACUUUUAUAUAUAAAAAAAGUAAAUAUUAAGAAAGUAUAAUAAAAUUAUAAUUUAAUAAUACCAAAAAAUUAAAGAUAACAUAAUAUAUAAAUUCUUAACAUUAAAAUACACCUACCUAUAAUACUUUAAUUAAACUUUGAAAAUAUUAUAUUAAUUUAUUAUAUGUAAAAUAUUGGAGCAAAAACAAUUAUGAAAAAAUAUAUAUAAAAUUUGAUUGCUCCAUGUGUGGGUGAGAGAGAGCAAAUAAAAUUUCAAAAAAUGAAUAAGAGGUGCCGCUGGAGAGAGGUUUUUUUUUUUUGAUCAACAAAGAAUAUAAUAUAAUAAAAGAGAUACUUCAGGGGUAUCUCAACCCGUAUACAGAACCACAAUACCCAAACCAACUAAGUUAUAGGUUUCUAAAGAAGACAAUAACACUCAUUCAGAGUCAAUGAGCAUUCCUUCCACCAACCUACACAAGUGGUCUAAUGAAACUAUUGCUUAAGGUCCCCACAAUACCACAAUUCAACACUCAUUAUGACACUUGUGCAGUAAAACCAAGUAUAAUAAUAAUAAAAGAGACUGUGGCAGCAUCUAAGGAAUUAAAUCCAAAGCUCAUCUAUCUACUACCUACGUAUGCCCUUCUAGUAACACUUCUGCCCUCCCUUCCUCUCCAUCAUGAUGCUCCCAAUUUGUUCCAAGCUUCUUUGGCCAUAUUAACAUCUCAAUUCUGGCUCAGAGUCUCCCUUCCACAUACUAGUUUACUGAUAUGCAAUGUCUUGGCAUUGUUCAUCUUCCAUGAACCAGCAGCGGUCUUAAGCGUCCAAUAUACCUUACAUGGCCACCUGCAGGAUUCAUUUGACAGUGUUCCAUUCCUUACUUCAUCUUCAUACCCAACACCAAAUUCCCUACACCCUUACUAGCAUUCCUUCAACCAUACUAGCAAGCCAAUUCCUACCAUUCUGCUUCCAUUAUUCCUUAUGUAGCAUCUUCAGCAGCAGACCCCAAUUUGAUUUGUGUACUUCUACAUUUCACCAUAUAAAAAGGGAGCUCGUACGAUACUUCCACCAUUACUUUAGCACCAACCAGCUGCUUCCAAGGCUAUUACACCUAGCUCCCUGCAAGUAAUAUUCAACCCCACCAAAAUUUACACCAAACACAUAACAGAACAUUCUGUUUACUUUAGUGUCUCCAACCCCAAACCAAAAUUUCCACUGCAUUCCCAUUUCUUCUAAAUAGAGCCCACUUCGUUGGUGCAUGGUAUUGUCACACAGAAAAACUUGCUCUGUUAUCCCUUCAUUAGUGACUCCGUAUAGCUGCCUUUGCUUACUACACACCUGCAUAACAGAACCGUAAUACUAAUAGCAUCAAUACAGUAGUAAACUAAACCAUCACACCAAACAGUCCAAAAAGCCUUUCCCUUAAACAGAGCACACUUCCACCCUGAAAUCUGCAUAAACCAGCCAUGUUAUAAUCAUUUCUUUAGGAAAAUUUUCCAACCUUCCAUCGGCUCCUACACACGUUCCAGCCCUUCCAUGUAUAUACAAAUUCCAUCAACCUAACCAUUAGUCAGAACAAUUCACUACUAUUUAGGUUCAAUCUAUGGGCUCUUCAACCUCCUUAGAAGAUUCCAUAGCUGCCUAUCUCCGAGGUUGAUAACCAACAUGUUAUCCCCCCUAAGAUACCUGCAUACACAAAACAGGAUUGUUCCCGUAUGAACCCUUAUGCUCCGGGCUAAACUUAUCUUACACAAAGAAGGCAUUGGACUGGAUUCAAUAACCAGUCGAAGAAAUAAGAGAAAGCACUUUCCCUGUGUUUCAACCAUAGCCAGGACAGUAAUUAAGCAACUUGAAGGAUUUCCUCAGAGUCAGGAACCCUUUGUCUAAAGAUCACAUUAUUCCUGUGCUCCCAUAUGCAACGUACAAUCGCCGCCCACACUCCCUUCCAUACCUGAUUCUGUUUCUCGGACAUAUUAAAUAAGUGAAAGUUCAGAAAGUGAUUACAUAUGUCCUUGUUUUGAGCUCCCAAAACACCUAUCCAUCUGAAACACAAAAUCCACACUCUAUAUGCCACACCACAGUCCAGAAACAGAUGUUGGGUGGAUUCUUCGGAAAGGUUACACAAAGCACAGAGAGGGGAGUUCACCUCUACACCUCGUGACAUAAGAUUCUUGAAAGUUGAGAUUCUGUCCAAAAGGAUUCUCCAUGCAGUGAUUAGAACUUUUGAUAAAGCUUUGGCCUUCCAAAGAAGUCUAAAGACAUCAUUACCCGAUCCAGUUCUUUGGUCGACCAAGAUAGAAUAUGCUGAUUUCACAGAAAAAACCCCCUUGACAUCCCAUCUCCAAGUAAUAAAAUCCUUGGAUUCUUUAUGCAAAACUCCCGUAGAAAAAAUUGAUAGAAGUUCUUCCUCCAUGACCGACUCCCAUUGAAACCUCUCUCUCCUCCAAUUUAAGUUCCAAUGCCAACCAUAAUCAUCCCAAAAACCGGAGUCACCCACUGUCAUCCCUUGUUUUAAGGACAAAGAGAAUAAUUUAGGGUAAACAUCCUUGAGAUUAUUGUCAACAAUCCAAGAAUCCUCCCAGAAUUUGACUAAGUUCCCAGAUCUGACGUUCCACACUAGAGCUUGUUGAAACCAGCCUACACCCUCGCCUUCCCCACAUAAAUUAACUAGGUCUCUCCACCACCAAGAUUGGUAACACGGUCGGGUGUGAUUAGACCCAUUUAUCUCCAUAUAUUUCGACUCCAUAAUAUCUUUCCAUUUCCCCUUCUCAUCACUCAUUAAUCUCCACUUCCAUUUCGCCAUUAAAGCAUAGUUAAACUUCCUGACCUCUUUGAUCCCUAAAUGAGAAAGAGGUAGGUUUGGAGAGAGAAAGACGGAACUCCAAAUGAGAAAAAAUAUAAAAAGGUAGGUUUGGAUAGAGGACUAUAGAGAAAAACUACUUCCAAAAAUUUGGAUUGGAAAUUUGGAUUUUUCAAUUUUUAAAAUUUGUAUAAAUAAAAUGGAAAUCUGGUAAAUAUAUUUUUAAUGGAUUAGAAUUGUGUAAAAAUGGAGUAGUUUGACAAAAUCCAACCUUACAAAAUACCAAUAACAUGAUAAGCCAAAUCUACUAUAACAAUAGAUUGUAUAUGGGCUGAGAAUAUAAUCCCUUAUUUUUUCUUCUAAGUUAUUAUGUUUAUCUUUAACAGUAACUUCUUAGGCAUCAUAGGAUGCAAUUGCAUGAGAGGAAAUUUUCUAUGACUGGUCAACCCAUUAGUUUCAGUGAUGUUCAAUGUCUGAUGCCCCACUUCUCCACUUGGAACUUCCCAAUUAAAUUGGUGAACAAGGUUUGCUAGACCAGCUCAAUCACAUUCAUGGCAAACAUUAUUCCUGGACAACCCCUCCUUCCUGCUCCAAAUGGUAUCACUUCAAAAUCAUGUCCUUUCACAUCUAUUGAACUAUUUAAGAAUCUCUCUGGUUCAAACUGUUCAGGUUUGUCCCAAUAAGAAGGAUCUCUUGCAAUUGCCCAAGCAUUAACUAUUACUUGUGUGCCAGUUGCAAUGUCAUAGUCCAUCACUUUGGCAUCUUCCAUGGAUUCCCUUGGAAACAACAAGGGAACUGGGGGAUGUAAUCGAAAAGUUUCUUUAAUCACUGCCUUCAAAUAAUGCAUGCUAGUUAAAUCUUCCUCAGUUAUGCGAGUUCUGCCACUAACCGCAUUCCUUAUCUCACCUUUUAGCUUCUGCAUCACAGUUGGGUACAUUAGGAGUUCUGUCAUUAUCCAUCCUAGGAUUGUGGAGCUAGUCUCAGUGCCUGCAGCAAACAUAUCCUGAAAGAAGUACCCAUCAAUUGUCAAUUUCAUUGUCUACCUUAAAUUUCCAUGAACGAAAAUAAACUCAACAUGCAUUAAGGUUUUGAGCAACUAAUAUGUGACUUAACUUUUUAUUGGGAAAGUAGUGUAUAUGUCUUGAAAAGAAAUAACAAAAUCUAAUAGUGUUGAGAAACUAUAGAAUAAGGAUAGGAUUAGAGUUGUGUGUGAAUAUCGUGGAGGAUAAAAGACAUACAACUAUCCUGUUUAUAAUUUACCCUAACCUUUAUUUUAUUGUUAUUCUCUUAGGGUUUAGAUUUUAGGAAAGAAAGUAACAUAAUAAAAUAACAAUCACAUCACUCAGUUAAAGAAAAUAAUUUUUGAGUGAUAGACAACGAAAUUUAACAAAAAUUAAUCAUACGUACCAGGAUUAAAGCCUUUAUGGUUCUUUUAUCAAUGUGGAAUCCCAAGGAGUUUGUCUCUUGGAUCCUCAGCAAAAUGUCCACCAAAUCAUUCUGCUCUUCAUUAUCAGCACCAUGCACAUCAUGUCCUCUCCUACUUACAUGCUCAUCAACAACUUAAUCAAAAAAUUCAUCAAGCUGUUUAGCCACUCUCUUUGCCCUACCAUACAUUCCAUUAACGCUUCCCAACCAAUCAAGCCAAGGUAUGUAGUCCCCUAUAACUGAAGCACCCAACAGCUCCAUCAUCUCAUCCAUUGGCUCCCGAAGCUUACUCCCUCCUUCUCCACUGUAUCUCCUUCCGAGAGCAGCUCUACACACUAUGUCAUUUGCGACUGUAGUAAAUAAAUCAGUUAAAUUCACAGGCAUCGAAGAAGAACAACACUGCUUAAUCUUAUCCAUCAUUGUGGAGAUUUCCUCUUCUCUCACUACACCAAAGGACUGAACCUUUUUUGCACUGAGAAGAUGCAAGACAGAAAUACUCCUUAUCUGUCUCCAGUAGUUGCCAUAUGGAGCAGAUGCCACAUCUUUGUAAUCAUACAAGAAGAUAUCAAACAUCUUACGAUGUGGUCUGUUUGAAAAAACAAGGUCGUGUGUUUUCAUAACCUCACGAGCUGCCUCAGCUGUGGAAACCACAAGAACUGGCACCCUUCCAAAGUGAAGUAACAUUAAAGGGCCAUAGGUUUGAGCAAAGGAUUGGAGAUUGCGAUGAGUGAGGGCGCCAAGUUGGUGGAGAUUUCCUAUUAUUGGAGAGAAGUGAACAUUGUGUCGUGUGUUUUCUUUAAUUUGCUGUAUAAUUAAUUAGCAAUGCAGAACCAGGUAUUUAUAAUGUUUGUAAGAUAGGUGUAUUUGUAUACGUUUCUUAGAUUUUUUUUGUUUUCAAAUACAGUAUGUAUGUAGUUUCCGUUCCAAGAUAUAUUUAGAGAUUACGUGAAUGAUUUGAAAGUAGGAAAAUGAUACCUCUUAACACCACAGUUCAUUAAAUAUAUAUCUACUUAACAACUAAUUUUUUAAUAAAAUAUUAUAUAAUAAAAAAAUAAUAAUCAUAUGAAUGUAGUAGGAUGGUUCUAGAUAGUUUUUUUUUUUUUCUUUUGGCAAAGAAUUAAUGAAAUUAAAAGAGGGACACUUUAGGGAUGGUUCUAGAUAGUUAAAAGCUCUUAAAUUCAAUUUUACUAGAACUCUGUUUUUUAUUUUUUUUUCUUAGUAAUAUCUUUUGCAACAAUAUCUAUUCAAUCCCUUUUUUUUUCUCAAUUGUUUUGGUUUAUAUAAUCAUAAUCUUUUCCAUUUAUUCGAUGUUCUAUAAUUUCCUGAACAAAAAGUAAAACAUAAAUACUUAUUAAGUUUAAUUUUCUUGACAUGUUUGAAGAACUAGAAAAAGAAAAAGAAUUAGGGAACAAUCGCAAUAAAUAGAUAAAGGUAAAACUUCCAACCAUUUGCCACUAAAUUAACAAUACAAGUUUCUUUAAUAAUAUAUACAAGUUGUUUCGUUUGUUUCAAAAGCCCUAAAUAUUGGAACCAAGACUUUUCUAUAUAUGCAAAGUUUACUAAAAUCACAAUGAUUGUAAAUUUUAUCUCGAGAAUGGAAAACAUAUGUACGACCCAUUUGACCACAUAAUAAGAUACGUGUUACUUCUUGCAAACCUCCACUUUAUCAUUUUGUAUUGUUUUUAAGCUUUCACUAUGCUAUGCAUGAACUUUCAGCUAUUCAGCCUAAUCAUCUUAUGAUAGUGAUCUGAUUUGAUAUUAUAAAUGUCAACGAGCCAUUUUUUUUUCCCAAAAUAAAUUAUUUCACUGACUUUUAAACUUAAAAAUGAAAAAUUGUUUAUAAAGAUUAUAAUCAAAUUCUAUUUAUAAUUUUUCACAUGUUUAAUAGAAAAGAUGCCUUUUAAACUCAUCAUCAAAGACUAAAAUUAAAUGAAUUUUUUUCUCGAACGGGUUAGGACUAAGAGAAUUAUUACCUUUCUCUUUGGUUGAUCAGUCGUUUUCUACUUCUUCCCUUUACUGAAUCCUUCUCUUCUUCAUUGUCCACUACAAGAAAAUCAUCAAAUAGAAACCAAUUUUUAGAAACCAAAAUAAUUAGUUGCAAUAGUAACUAAAUUAGAGACCAUUUUAGAAACUAAAACAAAAAUUGGUUUCUAAAUUAGUUUCUAUUAUUUUCUAUUAUUGUUAAAUAGUUUCUAAAUUGGUAUCUAAUUAGCAACCAAGGUUUUAUCUACCAAUUAUUUAGUUUAUAAAUUUAGUCUCUAAAACCUUGGUUACUAAUUAGAGACUAAUUUAGAAACUAUUUAAUAAUAAUAGAAAAUAAUAUAAACUAAUUUAGAAACCAAAUUUUGUUUUAGUUUCCAAAAUGGUCUCUAAUUUAGUUACUAUUGCAACUAAUUAUUUUGGUCUCUACAAAUUGGUUUCAAUUUCAUGAUUUUCUUGUAGUGGUCCUCUUUCUUGUAAAUUCCAAGUCCAGAUGGUACCUAGAAAAGACACUCCAAUGUUCUAGUGACAUCUUAGUAUUCGGUCUAAUUAAUGCGUGAUGAUGAUAUACCUUUUUAUCGAAAUCUAUGACUAUUUAUAUGAUUAUCAUGGGCCCUUUGUUAUUGGGCCGAAUUAGGGUUUUAGAUCAUAAUUAAGAGUGUAUUACCUAAUGCUUAAUCGUUAUUUGAUCUUGUUAAUCUUCUGUUAGUCUUAAUGAAUUUGAUCGUGUCGGUCGGCUCUAGUCGGAUGUUGAGACCUCCAUCUAUCGUUCAGAUCCAAUCGGUACAACUUUUGUUACAAAUUAAAUACACUAAAAGAAAAUGAUUAAAUAAAAAUCAAUUUUAGAGACAAAAUAUAAUUAGUUGCUAUAUUGAUUAAAUUAGAUAUUAUUUUAGAGAUUAAAAAAAUUAUUAGUAUCUAAAUUUGUUUUUAUUAUUGAUAAAUAGUUUCUAAAUUGGUAUCUACACUACAAUAAAAAAAUGUUUUAACAGAGGUUUAUUUUUACAAUACCAAAGGUUAAAACCUUCGUUAAGUCAUUUAUCCUAGGUGGCAGUUUCCUCCGCUAAAUCAUCUAUGGGGAAUGUGUUACUUGGGGUGUUUUAAAACCUCUAAAAAAAUCAGUAUUAACCUUAGUUAAAUACAAUUGGUUUAAGAACCUCCGUAAAAUACCAUGGGUUUGAGAACCUCCAUAAAUACCAUGGGUUUCAUAGCCUCUUUAAAAUAUUAUAGGUUUCACAACCUUCGUAAAAUACUAUGGGUUUUAAAACCUUCGUAAAAUAGUAUAAGUUUCAAAAUCUCCGUAAAAUAUCAUGAAUUUUUGAAACCUCAAUAAAAUAUCAUAGAUUUCACAACUAUAAACAUUCAUGUGCUUUAUGUAUUUUUUGAAUCAUUUAUCAUUUAUGCAUUCGCGUGCUUUUUUAAUCAAUAUUAAUUAUUAUUUCGUGCAAUACUUGUUCCAAUUUUCACAACNNNNNNNNNNNNNNNNNNNNNNNNNNNNNNNNNNNNNNNNNNNNNNNNNNNNNNNNNNNNNNNNNNNNNNNNNNNNNNNNNNNNNNNNNNNNNNNNNNNNNNNNNNNNNNNNNNNNNNNNNNNNNNNNNNNNNNNNNNNNNNNNNNNNNNNNNNNNNNNNNNNNNNNNNNNNNNNNNNNNNNNNNNNNNNNNNNNNNNNNNNNNNNNNNNNNNNNNNNNNNNNNNNNNNNNNNNNNNNNNNNNNNNNNNNNNNNNNNNNNNNNNNNNNNNNNNNNNNNNNNNNNNNNNNNNNNNNNNNNNNNNNNNNNNNNNNNNNNNNNNNNNNNNNNNNNNNNNNNNNNNNNNNNNNNNNNNNNNNNNNNNNNNNNNNNNNNNNNNNNNNNNNNNNNNNNNNNNNNNNNNNNNNNNNNNNNNNNNNNNNNNNNNNNNNNNNNNNNNNNNNNNNNNNNNNNNNNNNNNNNNNNNNNNNNNNNNNNNNNNNNNNNNNNNNNNNNNNNNNNNNNNNNNNNNNNNNNNNNNNNNNNNNNNNNNNNNNNNNNNNNNNNNNNNNNNNNNNNNNNNNNNNNNNNNNNNNNNNNNNNNNNNNNNNNNNNNNNNNNNNNNNNNNNNNNNNNNNNNNNNNNNNNNNNNNNNNNNNNNNNNNNNNNNNNNNNNNNNNNNNNNNNNNNNNNNNNNNNNNNNNNNNNNNNNNNNNNNNNNNNNNNNNNNNNNNNNNNNNNNNNNNNNNNNNNNNNNNNNNNNNNNNNNNNNNNNNNNNNNNNNNNNNNNNNNNNNNNNNNNNNNNNNNNNNNNNNNNNNNNNNNNNNNNNNNNNNNNNNNNNNNNNNNNNNNNNNNNNNNNNNNNNNNNNNNNNNNNNNNNNNNNNNNNNNNNNNNNNNNNNNNNNNNNNNNNNNNNNNNNNNNNNNNNNNNNNNNNNNNNNNNNNNNNNNNNNNNNNNNNNNNNAUAUAUACACUUAACAACUAAAUUUUUAAUAAAAUAUUAUAUAAUAAUAAAAUAAUAAUAAUCAUAUGAUUGUAGUAGAAUGGUUCUAGACUCUUAAGUUCAAUUUUGCUAGAACUCUGUUUUUUUUUCUUUUUUUCUUAGUAAUAUCUUUUGCAACAAUAUCUAAUCAAUCCUUUUUUUUCUUAAUUGUUUUGGUUUAUAUACUCAUAAUCUUUUCCAUUUAUUCGAUGUUCUAUAAUUUCCUGAACAAAAAAGUAAAAUAUAAAUGCUUAUUAAGUUUAAUUUUCUUGACAUAUUGAAGAACUAGAAAAAGAAAAAGCACUAGGGAACAAUGGCAAUAAAAAUAUAAAGGUAAAAGUUCCAACCAUUUGCCAUUAAAUUAACAAUACAAGUUUUUUUAAUAAUAUAUAUACAAGUUAUUUCGUUUGUUUCGAAAACCCUAAAUAUUGGAGCCAAGGCUUUUCUAUAAUUGCUAAGUUUACUAUGUACGACCCAUUUGACCACGUGUUAUUUCUCGCAAACCUCCACUUUAUCAUUUUGUAUUGUUUUUUAGCUUUGAAUAUGAAUAUGCUAUGCAUGAACUUUCAGCUCUUCAAGGUCAUCCUAAUAUAAUUUUAUGAUAAUUUUUUUAUUAACAAAGAAUAAAAAAAAAUAAAAAAAAAUACAUGCCCUAAUCCUUAUACAAAAAUUGGUCAAAGAUGAACUUAUUUAACACUUAAGGAACAAAAAUCUUGUUAAACUUUAUAAAUCACCAAACCAAACAUCAAAAACACAUAAAAAAAAAAAAAGUCAUAGCAACACACAAAACACCUUUUCUCAAAAGUCCUAACAUCUUUUAUGUGUUUUUUUACUCAUUUAUCAUUUAAACAUUCAUUUGAUUACCAAAAUUGUUUAUGUUUAUUAUAUUUAUUUAUCUUUUAUAAAGUACUUUUCUUAAUGAGAGUAAAACGUUUUAGUUUAUAACAAAUAUUUUUUUUUAUCAACUUGAAUUACUCAUUCGUGCAUUGUUCCAGUUUCUCACACGCACACCACCAACAAUCUCUAAUGCAGCAAAAUAUUUGUUCAGUUUCUUUGUACCUUUAUUUCCGCUUUUGUGUGUCAAGAUUCAAUUAAUUUCACCAACUUCAUUGGAUCCCAUUACAAUUACUAAGAUUUUCACCUCAAUCACGCUCACCAAUUUCUCACACAAGUCCAAGUCCCACACAAACACUGACAGACCAAUUUACAGCACCACGAAACUACAUACACUAUUCAAAAAAUCAUCAAAUAAAAUUUAAUUUUAGAGAUUAAAAAUAAUUAAUUAUUAUAUUGACUAAAUUAGAUACUAAUUUAAAAAUUAAAAAAAUUAUUAUUUUUUAAAUUAGUUUUUAUUAUUGAUAAAUAAUUUUUAAAUUGACACUAAAAGAAAUCAUGAAAUAGAAACCAAUUUUAUAGACUAUAGAUAAUUAGUUGUUACAGUGACUAAAUUAUAAACUAUUUUAAAAACUAAAAAAAAUGUUUCUAAAUUAGUUUAUAUUAUUGUUAAAUGGUUUCUAAAUUAAAAUUUAAUUAGCAAUUAAGGUUUUUGUUACCAAAUUUAGAAUUAAAUAAUUGGUAGUUAAAACUUUGGUUGGUAAUUAGAUACUAAUUUAAAAACCAUUUAACAAUAAUAGAAACUAAUUUAGAAACUAAUUUUUUUUAGUUUUUAAAAUGGUCUCUAAAUGUUUUUCUUGUAUGUGAUAUCUAAUUAACUACCAAAAUUUUAACUACUAAUUAUUUAAAUUCUAAAUUUGGUAGCAAAAAUCUUGAUAGAUAAUUAAAUACUAAUUUAGAAACUAUUUAUAAUAAUAAAAACUAAUUUUAAAAUCAAUAAUUUUUUUAAUCUCUAAAAUAAUAUCUAAUUUAAUUAAUAUAACAAUUAAUUAUUUUUAUUUCACUAUUACAUUAAGAUGCAUUCUACAACAGUUACAAUUUGCUUUGUUGCCACGUUUUUGAACCGUGAGCUACUGCACCUCCAGCGAUGAUUUAAUUUCAACUCAGCAUUCCAAUUUGUUAAACAAAAAACUACACCAAUUUGGUUCAUGUAAAGUUUAUUUUGAAUUGCAAUUCAACUUUAAUACCAAAUUGUUCCUGCCUAGUACAUUCCAGCCAAAACACCAAAUUUGUACAGUUGAAUCAAAGAAUAGUUCAGAAAUUGAAAUCAUAUUUCAGAAAGUAAUAAAUUUAGAACAAGAAAAACACAAUGACUCUGCCUUAUCCAGGAACAACAAAAACAAUAGUUUCAAUUUUCUACUAGCACCAUCAGCAUAUUCAAGCCACAAGUUAAAGCAUCAAUACAACAUUAUUUUUUCAAAAUAUUUGCUAAUUACUCUUUUAUAAUAUUUAAUUAUUUAAUUAUUUAAUUAUAUCAUGUUUUUUUAUUAUUAUUAUUACAUAUUUAGGAAUUAUAUGUUCGGUUUUAUUAAAAACUAAUUUUUCUUUUACAAUAUUAAAAUAAUAAUUUAUUAAGUUACGAAAAAUUGUCAAAUUUGUUUAUUCUCUUUCAAUUAUCGAGAUUUGUUUUAAGAAUUUAACAAAACAUUUGUUAUUUACAAAUUAUGUCUUUAAGUUUAAUGUGUUUUUUUAAUUAUUAUUAUUUACGAAUUGUAUAUUCAAUUUUAUUGGAAAUUGAAAAUUUUGAUAUAUAAUGUUAAACGAGAACUAAUUGUCAAAUUGAUUCACUAUCUACACGCGUGAAUAAAUUAUAUAUAUAAUACUGUUUAUUUAAUUAACAGAAUGAUUAAUUAAUUAGUACCUAUUUUCUAUCUUUUUAUUGUAAUAUUUUUAGUUUCAAUUAUCUAACUUAUAUAAUUUGUCUCAAUACUAUUUUAAAAUGGAUAAAUAAAUUUACAAAAUUAGAAAGUGCAAUCCAAAUUUAAUUUAUCAAACAAAAUAUAUUACUUACAACACACAAAUAUCAAAAUUAUUUUUAUAAAAUAAAGUAAGAAAUUUAAAUUUACUUUACCAUAAAUUAUUUUUAUUGAUUAUUUUGAAAAUUUUAAAAUAAUUUUUAUCGAUUAACAUAUUUUAAUUACUUAUAAAAAGUAUUUAAGUCAUCAAUUUUAAAUAUUUAAAUUUAGUGUCUACAUAUAAUUUUAGACAAAUAAUUUUAUAUUUCUAACUAUUUCUUACAAAUUAUUUGAAAUUUUAUUUUGUAAGAAUAAAUUUUAUACAACACCAUAAUUAAUAUAUGUAUAUAUUAAAGAAAUUAUAUAAUAAAUAUAUUACAAAUUUAUUACAAAAAUGGUCUAGUUUUGUUUAAAAUUUUGUCUCUAGCUACAUAAAUAUUAUAUAUCUUUUAAAAUAAUUAUAUUCAUUGGAUAUAAAUGAAUUUUAUGAAUAAGUAUUAAUACUCAAUUAUACAAUACGGUUAACUUUUGAAUAUAUAUAUAUAUAUAUAUAUUAUUUUUUAUUUGGCAUGUUUUAUCAUAAAUGAAAUGUUAUAUAAUUAUUAUCUAAAUUAAUUAAUAUUUAUUUAUUUAUAAAAUUACUUAUGUUUUAAAUUUUAAGUUAAACUUUAAGGAUUUGCUGGUUCAAAAAUAAUAAUAUAAAAAACAUUUUUUCUAUAACUAAAAUUUGUAAUUUUUUAAUGAAUAUAAUGAUAGACUUCAAAUUUUAUAUAUUAAAAUCACAAUUAUAAAUAUAUUACAACUCAAAAUAUUAUUACUAAUUUAUAUAAUGUUUAUAUUUUGAUAUGAUUUAGUUACUUAUCUAUACAAUAAUUAAAAAAAUAUAUAAAUUAUGUAUUAAGCACUUGAUAUACAUAUUUACAAAUUUUAUUAUAUAACAUAAUUGAAUAAUAAAUAGGAUAAAUAUGAUAUUUUUUUUUACUUUUUUAUAAAUUUUCUUUCAUACCUUAAAUCAAUUAUAUCUUAAAAUUAUAUUUAGAAAAAAAAAAAUUUAUUAAUGGUAAUAUGGUUUUUUUGUCUCUUCUUUUAACGAGCACUAAUACAGAAUAGUUCAUUAACGACGAUUAAAAAGGCUAUAAAGAUGAUUUUCAAACUGUAUUAUCUUAUAACAUCAGAUUGAAUAACAGAUGUUGUUCUUUCAAAGUUGGAUACAUUAGGGGAAAAAAACCUUAGGUCACAUUUUUUCUAAAUAAUUUCUGAAAUAAUGUAGCCAUAUUUUCUAGUAUUUCAAUAUGCGAAAAUCAUAGGAGAAUGAAAUAAACACAAGUACAAUUAUGGCAAAAUACACUUUGAAAUAUAUGAGAAUCAUAUUUAAGAUAAUUUUUUCCCAAAAUUAUAUUCUUAAAAUAAACUACUCAUUCUGCAAGCACAUUGUUCAUAUUAUAUGUCAAAGAUGAUUUUCAAUUUUCAAAGUUAGAAAACCCUAAGCUACUUGAUGCUAUGAAUCCCAAAGAUUUGAUAACCAAUAGGAUGCAGAACCAAUAAUAGAGGUCUCUUUGGGAAGGGACUACGAUUUACAAAUGUAAGGUUUUGUGAAGCUGUAAAGGCAUGUUGUUUUUAUUGCUACUACAAGAAAUUAUGCAAUAUUUUAUAGCAUAAUUAUGCCAUGCAAAGCACUAGAAGUGCCAAAAAGCAACGAUUUCAUAAAAAAAUAUGCAAAUAAAAUUUAACAGAGAACCAAAACAGAGCACAAUCAAGACAUUUGCAUCACGCUAAAAGACAAUCACAAUAAAAAAUUUCAAUCGAACGAAACAUUUAAAAAAAUCCCAAAAAAUAUAUAUCAGAAAUCAAAUCCAAUGAAGUUCAUCCCCAAACCCUAAAAUUGUUUUUAAUCCUAUUUUGACACUGAAAACCCUACCACAUGCGAAAAUGGAAGGAAGAAAACGUAAAUUUGUCUCUUCACAUCAUUUUGCUUUUGGCAAUGUCAUUGUCGUGAAUGAAUUUGAAGAACGAACCGCUUACCUUACUCACAUAAUGCCACUCCUAGUUCGUAACAAAUGGCUUAGGGUUUUAGAGUUGUCUUGGUUUUGACUUAGGGUUUCACUAGUGCAGAAAGGCAAAACAGGGGCGCCUUAUUAAGUGCGGUUUUACGAACAGACGCAAUCGUAGAAAAUGUGGUGGCAUUUUUUAAAUUAAGUUCAUUUACAAAUGCGACUAUUUGUAACAGCCGCACUCGUAAAUCAAAGCGCUUGAUUUUACGAGUGCGGUUGUUACAAAUAGCCUCCCUCGUAAAUCAUUUUUACCUUAACUUCACUUCAGAAGCGCGCCAUUCACUACUCUUUUUUUCUCCAGAAGUGUUCCGUGUUUGCACUAUGCUCUCAUUUGCGCUUCGAGUUCCUCUCUUUUUGAAGCGUUCGUGCCUUCGUGGUAAGUUUGUGAGCUUUCUUUCUUCUUCACCAUUGUAUUUUUUGUUCAUACAAUGUAUUGAUACUAUUCAUACUGUUGCAUUGCCUUCAUUGAUACUGUUGCAUUGCCUACGUAGGUUCCUCUCUUCUUGCUUGUGUGCUCCGUUGCUGCUUCCCCGUCCACCGCCUCGUUCGUUGUUGUCGUCGUGCCACCUUGGCAACGUUGCCUUCACACACAAGGUUGGUUUUAUUUUUUGAAUUUUUCUUUAGUGUUAUGAAUUUUUUUUAUGUAUUAUAAUUUUUAUUUUUUAAAAUUUAUAUUAUUUAGUGUUUAUUUUAAUUUUAAUUUAUAUUUGUUGAUCAAGGAUGAUCUUGAAGCUUUGAUGUCUCCAAAUCCAUGAUGUUUGAUGGAAGGCUGGAGUUGUUGUGUGUGUGGGAGGGUUUUGGGUAGAAUGAUGUGCAAUCCACUCUUUGUUUGAAUCUAAAACAGUUUGGAAUCAAAACUUUUUUGAAAAAUAAUGUUUUAUGAAGAAGUGGAAAAACAACCUGUUGUUUUGUCGUUUCAAUCGGUUGUUUAUCACUUAGAGGUUUUUGAAAAGGGUUUGAAGCUGUUUGACUUGGUUGACUUUGCUGUCAAACCAAUUCAAUCGGUUGUUUUGAGGAUUCAACCGAUUGUUUAUUGAAAACCCAUAAAAAAAAUUUAUUAUGUUUGCAAAUCAGCUUUAAAUGUUUUCUAGCUGAAUAGGCUCAUACUUUAAAUGUUUUUAACAACAUUUGGAGUAUUUAAAAAGGUUGUUAUACUCUCUUAAAGUUUGAUAACAAAUUUGAGACAUUGGUGAGAGUGUGAAAACAAAUUUGAGUUUUCAAGAUUUGCAUUCAAGAUUUUGGGUUUUCUCAAAGAAGUGGAAUAGGAUUGCGGUAAUCUUUCGAUUUGAUCUUCAUCAGGUGUAAUCCUUUCUGAAUCUAUUGUAUUUCUGAAUACUGGUGUGUAAGUGCAGAAUAAGAGGGUGUUCUGAUUUCUGUGGUGUUUGUGUGCCAAAGGAAGUGUGUUUCUUGAGGUGUUCAAGGUCAUUUCUUUGGUGGUGUGUUUGUAAUAUGGAUUUUGAUUGCAUUGUAGAUACCUAGUGGUUUCUGAGGACUGGAUGUAGCUUUUGGGAUAAGAGUGAACCAGUAUAAAUUGCUUAUGUGUUUUUCUCUUACCCUUAACUCAUUUAAAUUUUGCUUUUAAGUUGUUUUUGCUGAUAUAAACAACUGGGUGAAUCGCAAAAACAACCGGUUGAUUUUCUGUUAAUCAACUUAAACAUUUUUAAUUGAUUGCUUUCUGGAUUUCUAUAUCUGUGAUUCUGAUUUGAACUUCAUUAUACCUUUAAAGUUUGCGAAAAUCUUUCAUAAACAAUUCACCCCCUCUUGUUUAAGGCCAUAUAUUCUAACAAUUGGUAUUAAGAGUUUGGUACUUGAAAAAUACUCAAGUUUGAUCCUAAUUUUUUUUUUCUUAUGGCUGAAAAAUUACCCUUUGGGGAGGGUGCAUCAAUAAAUAGACCACCUUUGUUUUGUGGUUUGAAUUACCAAUUUUGGAAGUACGUAUGCAGAUCUUUGUUGAAUCUCUUGAUAAAGGAAUAUGUGAUGCAAUUGAAAAUGACCAUUUUAUUCCUAAGCUUGAAAAGGAUGGUGUUUCUAUUGAAAAGCCUUGGUCCCAAUGGACUGAUGCAAAAAACAAAAGAGCAAAGUUUGAUUGCAAUGCAAAAAGUAUUAUCACCUCUGCCUUAAAUUCUAAUGAGUUUUUCAGGGUCUCUCAAUGCAGAUCUUCUAAGGAGAUGUGGGAUACUCUAGAGGUAACUCAUGAAAGAACGAACGAUGUAAAGAAGGCAAGGAAACAUACUCUAAUCCAAGAGUAUGAGAUGUUUAGAAUGCUCAAGGGAGAAUCAAUUGCGGAUGUGCAAAAACGAUUCACUUACAUUGUCAAUCAUCUCGUGAGUCUUGGAAAGGUCUUUGACAAAGAAGAGUUGAAUAUCAAAAUUCUCAAAUGUCUUGAUAGAUCUUGGCAACCUAAAGUUACGACUAUCUCAGAAUCAAAGGAUUUGACAUCUUCGACUACAACCUUCUUGUUUGGAAAGCUUAGGGAGCAUGAGUUGGAGAUGAAUAGACUCAAGAUUCAAGAGAGUGAAGAUAAGCAUGUAAGAAACAUUGCCUUGAAAAAUGCCAAGCACAAGAACAAUCAAGUUUCAAGUGAUGAGAGUGAAGGAGAAACUCUUAGUUUUCUGUCCAAAAAGUUCAGCAAAUUCAUGAAGAAGAAUCGCAACAAAGACUCCAAUAAAGAAAGGUAUGACAACAAGAAAACUAGUGAUUUUAAUGCUAACAAUUAUACUUGCUAUGGUUGUGGAGAGCAGGGGCACAUAAAGACUGAAUGCCCAAAUAAAGAGAAGAAGUCGAGCAAGAAGGAAAAGAAAGCAAAAUAAAAAAGAGCCUACAUUGUUAGGGAUGAAAAUGAUGUCUCUUCAUCUAGCUCCUCAUCAAGUGAAGAUGAAGAAGCUAAUAUGUGUUUGAUGGCCAAGGAAGAGGAUGAUGCAAACAGUGUAAGUUCUUGUACUUCUUUAAAUGCUGAAAAUUAUAGUCAACUUCUUCAAGCUUUUAAAAAAACACAUGAGGAAGCUAAUCAUUUGGCACUCUUAAACAACCGAUUGAAAGGGUUGAAUAACUGGCUUGAAAACAGAGUCAAGGCAUUGGAAAAAGAGUUGGAGAAUUCAAAAACUGAUUGAAAAUCUAGAAAUAAUUUACAAGAACUCUUCUUGCAAGUGUGACUCUCUUGUUUGUGAAAAUUGUGAAUCUCUUGAAAAGAAGGUUCACUAUCUUGUGAAAACUGUGGAUAGACUUUCAAAGGGUAAAUCCAACUUUGAGAAUGUCUUGGCAUCUCAAAAUUGUGUUUUUGGAAAAACAGGUUUAGGUUUUAAUCCACAGAGCAAGAAGAAUGAGUUUUCAAAGUCUUUUUCAAAACUGGCAGAAAAACAACCGAUUGAAAAAUCGAAACAAUCGGUUGUUACAUGAUUUAUUGCAUGAAGAGAGGCCACUCUGUUAGAUUUUGCAAUACUAGGAAAUAUUUUGUUCCUAAAGGUGUUAUGAGAUGGAUUCCCAAGAAUUGUGAGGUUCCUCGUGAUAAAGUUAAUAUCAAAGGACCCACAUUUGUAAGAGGACCAAAUCUUGUUGCUUGAUUUCAUGGUUUUGCAGGAUUACUAAUAGAUUAAGGAGUCUUGAGUCACAAGAUCAAGCUUAUGAAGGAACUUUCUGGACUUCCAAUUACUGUUUUGUACAAGCUUAGUCUUCUUGAAAGCCAAGAGAAGUUACUUGAUCAUGGACAAUGACUCAUUGAAAGAACUACAUUGGCAAAAGGAUAAAACUUUCCUUGUUUUAAUUUUUUUUAAUAGUCUUUAAUUCAGGUGUAUGAUAAUUGAUGUCUGUAUUUUUCAUCUAUGUGAAGGUGCAUGUAAAACUUUCUUUCUGAUGCAUCUCUGGCAAUCUAUUAUUAAUCUAUGAAAUGCUUUAAUCUUUGUCACAGAAAAACAACCGAUUAUUUUCACGAAACAACCAAUUGUUUCCCUCUGGCAACACUGCAUUAAAUUGAGUUAAUUUCUCUAUGCAUUGUUUCUGUUGUAGAUUCUUUUCUCAAGAAGUUACAAGUCAAAAUUGCUUUUAUUGUUGGUCAGAUUUUGUGCAGAAAGAGUGUUAUUUUGGUCAUGAAUGGAAUAUAUUCCAUAUCUUGGAAAUUCAAGAGCUUUUAUGACUAGUCAAAUCCACAUGUCAUGACCAUGUGCUUUCUGGUAUUAGCUGACAUUUUUCUAUGCAAUCUUGGACCAAAUAAUUCUUCUUGAAGACUGAAACCCACUAAAUGGCAAGAAUUGAAGCUGCUACUUGUGCAUUUGUAGAACCCUAUGCAGUUGUUUUUCUUCACAAAAACAACUCAUUACCACAUCUCUUGCUGUUUUUCAAAUUUGCUAUUCCUUCUCAAACUGGUUUCUGUUUUUCUCUUUGCCUUCAUGGAUGCCACACCUCUUUCAUCAAAGAGGAUCAAAACAAGGGUUGUAAGAAGGGGAGGACGCAUUUAGGCAUGGUUCUCGGGUGAAGAUAAAAAGAUUGAGAAAUAUCUUCAUGAAACAAGUAGGAAGACAAUAAACAAUCCAAAGCUUAUCUCUUUCACUUGGUUAAAGGAGCAGAAGUUGGGUGAGCUGAGAAGUCUUCUCAAAGAACAAAUGCUGAAGAGGUUCUUGGAGAUGUCAGGGAACACAUACCCUGAACUUAAAAGGGUAUUGUAUACCGACCUUCAAUUUGUUGGAAAUAACCUUGUUUCUCAAGUAAAAGGGCUUGAUAUGGAGAUUACACAUGAAGUAUGGACUGCCAUCACUGGAUUAAAGUAUGCAGGGCUGCGAAUCAACAAAGGAAACAUUGGUGUGGUGGAGGAAUUUAAUAAAAUUCAGUUUUACAAGAAUUGCUUGGAGAAUCCUCAAGCUAAAGUGACAAAUUUUUCAGUGGGAGGUCUAAAAUUGAAUGAAAGGCUAAUUGCCUUAAUUGUGACAUGGAUGCUUACACCUAGGGGGAGCAAUCCUUUUGUGCUUACUGAGGAGGACCUUGUCUACAUGUAUUGCAUUAUGAACAAGGUCAAGAUCAAUUGGAUCCACAUCAUUAAGGAACACAUCCAGAAAUCAAUGAGGUUAAGUGACUAUCACUAUCCAUAUGCUGUAUUGAUUUCUAAAUUCUUGAAUUAUUUUGAAGUGGACCUUGAGGAAGAACAAACUGAAGUUGUGAAAUCAUCUCUUGAAGUGAACAAUGGUUCACUUAACAAGAUGGGUUUCACCAAGAUUGGUGGAAAAUGGGUGAGCAAAGAUGGUGAUCAAGGUAGUUCCUCAAGUGGUGUGCAUGCUGGACAAUAAGAGAAAGAUUUUGAUGCUGCUGAAGGUGUUGGAGUUGAUGCUCAAGAAGAACAUACUGUUACUGAUAUAGGUGCUGGAACAAGUGCUGGAAAUCAAGGAGAAAUGAUUCUCUCAAUGUCUCCUUUUGAGAGGUUUAUGGUUAAUAGAAUGAACAACUUUGCUAAAAACCAAAGGAAUCUCCAUGAAUUUUGUGUUACAAAUUUUCAUAACUUUGAUGACAAAUUCCAAAGCAUGGAUACACGUUUCUAGAACCUUGACGAACAGAUUGAAGUUGUUCAAAACCAAAUAUUUGAGCUGCAGUAUGGAAAGGAAGAUUAAAGCAAAGUUUUAGUUAUGUUUAUGCUUAUCUUGCUUUAAUUUUUGGACAUUUCUUUCUUAUUUUUGUUUUUAUUCCUUUCUUCAUUAUAUUUGUGAAGACAAAUAGGGGGAGAAAAUGUUGGUUUAUGUGUUGUGUAUGCUGCUAUUACAAACUCUGAUUUCAAGUUUUUAAUUCUGUUGCAUUGCUGCUGCUACACUCACUGCUUUUGGCAUAUUUUUGGACUGGUUUUUCUACUGUUUUGAUUAUGCAUAAAACUAGUGAAUGUGCCUUGAUAACCUGCUACCAUAUAUGUUCUAUGUUUGUAUAGUUUUUGUUUGCAAGUACUGGUUCAUAUUCAAACAGAUCAACACAAGCAACCAGGGAUUUGUCUUCAUCAAAUAGGGGGAGAUUGUUGAUCAAGGAUUGUGCAUGAAGCGAAAAUACAUGAUGUUGUCUAUGAUGAUAUCCGGUCCGAAACAGCCAGGGAAUGACAUAGAUGUUUAUCUAAGUUCCCUAAUAGAAUAUUUGAAGUUAAUGUGGGACUAGGGUGUUGAAGUAUUUGAUGGAUUUGCUACUGAAACUUUCAAGCUUCAUGUCAUGUUAUUUUGCACCAUCAAUGACUUUCCGGCAUAUGGUAACUUAUCAAGUUACAAUUUUAAGGGUCAUAAAGCAUGUCCAAUAUGUGAAGAAGACACUGCUUCUCAACAAUUGAAAAAUGGAAGGAAGACAAUAUAUCUUCGGCAUCGGAGAUUUCUUAGAAGUCAUCAUCCUUACCGGAGGUUGAAAAAAGCCUUUAAUGGACACCAAGAGACUAGUGGUCCACCAACUCCAUUAACUGGUGUUAAGGUUUACGAAAAGGUAAAUAACAUAGACCAUACCUUUGGUAAGUCAAACAAAGAGUCAUCUGUGACAAACAUUUGGAAGAAGAAACCAAUCUUCCUUGAUCUUCCGUACUGAUCAAGGUUAGAAGUCAAACAUUGUAUAGAUGUAAUGCAUGUUGAGAAGAAUGUGUGUGAUAGCUUAAUUGGUACACUUCUUACAUUAACGGGAAGGCGAAUGAUGGUCCAAAUGCUCAUUUAGAUUUGAUUGAGAUGAACAUACGAGGCAAGUUGGCACCCAUAGAAGUCGGUAAGCGUACAUAUUUGCCCCCAGCCUGUUACACCAUGUCAAAAGAUGAAAAAAUCAGUUUUUGUCAAUGUCUAAAGGGUGUGAAAGUGCCACAAGGAUAUUCCUCAAAUGUGAAGAGCCUAAUGUCAAUGCAAGAUUUGAAGUUAAUUGGGUUGAAGUCUCAUGAUUGCCACAUCUUGAUGCAACAGUUGUUGCCGGUAGCUAUUCGUGGGAUCUUACCAAAAAAUGUUAGACAUACCUUAACCCGUUUGUGCUCAUUCUUCUCUUCCAUCUGUUGUAAAGUCAUUGAUCCAUCAAAACUAGAUGAACUUCAAAAUGAAAUUGUUGUUAUCUUGUGUGAAUUGGAGAUGUUUUUUCCUCCAUCUUUUUUUGACAUCAUGGUUCAUCUAAUGGUGCAUAUGGUAAGAGAGGUUAGAUUGUGUGGACCAGUGUACUUAAGAUGGAUGUAUCCUGUUGAGUGGUAUAUGAAAAUUUUGAAAGGUGAUGUGAAAAAUCAUUAUCGUUCAGAAGCUUCAAUGAUUGAAAAGUACAUAACUGAAGAAAUUAUUGAAUUUUGUUUAUAGUACAUGUCAAAAGCAAAUCCAAUAGGUCUUCCAGCUAAUUCAUGGCACCACAGGCGUUCUACAAGUAAAUGUUUACGUGGUGUGAAUAUUGUAAGCAAAUCUCGAUUAGAAGUCUUGCAAGCACAUUUGUAUAUAUUGAAUAACACAGAUGAAGUUAUACCUUACAUAGAAGCUCAUAAAGCCAUUGUGAAGGCAAAUAACCUAAGACAAGUAGAGAAAUGGGUCUUGAUGGAACAUAAUUGAACUUUCAUGCCUUGGUUUAAAGACGAGGUGUUAAAGAAUUCAACGGCAUCAGAGACCUUGACCUGGUUGGCUGCUGGAUUGAAGUUUGAUGUCAUUUCAUGUAAAGCGUACAAAGUGAAUAAUUGUAUAUUUUACACGAAGUCUAUGGAUGAAAAUAUUACAGUUCAAAAUUCUGGUGUUACUCUUGAAGCCGAGUCAAUGCAUUUUUUGACUUCGAAAGAUACAAAUCCUGUACUUGGAUCAAUGGCAUACUAUGGGUUUAUAAAAGACAUAUGGGAGGUUGACUACACUAAGUUUUUCGUUCCAGUUUUCAAGUGUAAAUGGGUUGACAAUAAAAGUGGGGUUAAAAUUGAUGAAUCAGGAUUCACACUAGUGGACUUUCGAAGGAUAGGGUAUCGAUAUGAGCCAUUUGUAAUGGUUCAACAAGCAUCUCAGUUUUUCUACGUGAAAGAUCCUAUGUCAGAACAUUGGUAUGUCAUUUUACACGGGAAAAAACAAGGGGAGGCCAUAGAUGAUACUGAAAAUAGUGGCCCUCGUUCAUUCACACCAAUGAUAAUUAAUAAAGAUGACGAUGUACUUGAUGAUGUACAUGCAACCUGUAAAGACCACAGUGAAAGAAUUUACAUAUGAACAUUCAACCCACAUGCAACCCGUAAAUACGCAUUUAUAAUUUUAUGUAUUUGUUUUAUAUGAUUUUAAUUCGAUGCAGAUUAACUAAUGUUAGUUACCUAAUUUUUUUAACACAGCUAUGAAUGACGAUCAAAAUCCAAUCAGAUCUUGAUCCGGACGAGUCAGCAUAGGACCUACUAGAUUGAAGUGUCUCGCAUUUAAACGUGUUGUUGGUGAGAAGACACGUGUUGACAUUGACGUCAACACUAGAGUGGCUUUUGGUCCUCAAGCAGAUGAGUUUAUGAGCUAUCUUAGAGUUGUUUCUCGUGAGAGGCUCUCCAUUUUAAUUAAUUCAUGGGAUGUGGUGUCAAAGGUCGAUCGGAACAUGAUCUGGGAGGAUGUUAUGGUAAGAUUUACAUUUUUAUUGUUACCAUAUAAUGCUUUUUAAUAUUCAUUGAUUAAUUUUAAUUUGGUGAUGAUAUUUUGCAGGCAAAUUUUGAAAUUCUUGAUGUGGAACAGCUUCGAUCAAAGAUUAUAUUCAAUACCGGACUUAAAUUCCGUCACUUUAAGUCAAGACUAACUUCAAGAUAUGUUUUUGGCGACCUUAAAGACGAAAAUCCAUGUUUUUAAAGUACAAAAAUAUUUGAUGAAGAGACAUGACGUCUUUUUAAAGAAAGCCGUGAAAAUGAAGCUUGGAUGGUAAGUGAAGUUACUUAACUAUUUUUAUUUAUAUAACAUUAAUAAGUUUAUCUUAUUUAAUUCACUUUGUUUAUUUCAAUUAUGACAGGAUUGUCGGAAGAAAGCUAAAGAGAUAGCUUUGAAGAAUGUUACCUCGCACGUACUAUCUCGUUCGGGGUAUUGAAAGCUUGAGCAAUCACUGUUGGUGGAAAAGGAGCAAUCUAGACAGGGGACGUCGUCUGAGAAUGUGGAAACAGGGGUCACUUCUGCUCCAUCACCACCUUUUCGCCAUGUAAAAUGGAAAAGGGCCCAAAUUAAAAAGUCGGGUGCACCAAGUUCUAAGCAAUCCGGGGUUUUCAUCGAAAAAAUUGUAAGUUAUUUGUUGUUUUUUUUCAUUUAUUUUAAAUCAUUAAUUAUAUUAAAACUAAUAUGAUUUUUGUCUCUUGCAGGAUUCCUUGGAAUCCCAAGGUAAUCCGAUCAGUCAUCCUCCUCCCCCAAAGAGAGCAAAGCAAAAAUGAAGACUAAGAUACGUGAAGAAUUAAUGGAGGAGAUGAGAAAGGAGAUUGAUCGGAUGUGGCUAGAGAUGCGAAAGGAGAAUGAUCGGAUGCAGCAAGAGUUUCUAUCGAAAGAACUUUGUGCUGAGUCGAUUCAACCCCUUGUUAGUCCCAUUCCCAAGAGCACCAAGGGGAGUUGUGCGGCUCCUACAACAUCAGGGGAGGAUAUCAUUGGGUAGAUGAGGGAAUGUGAGCUACUGGUAGCGGGCGGCAAGCUCCCUCAGGUGAUGACCCUUGGAAAAUUCUAUGAAGAGGCCACCACCUUACAUAACGUUCCUCUCUCCCCUAAUGUGACGAAGGUAACAGUUGAAAAAGUACGAGUACCUGAUGCUCGUGUUCCACUACCUUCAAAUGAGGUAACCACUGUGGCUGAUGCAUUUCAGACAUUCGUUGCCUGGCCCAUACACCUCAAUUUGAAUUAUGCCAGGACCUCAUGUAAUAAUUUAAUUUCAUUAUAUUAGUUUAUAUUUAUAUUUAUAUAUUACAUAUAAUUUAAUACAAAUGUUCUUUAUUCUGUAGAAACCUCGUCGGAAACCAAGUUCAGAAAAGAAGCAUUAGGUUCUGGUUGACGAUCCUAUAGCUUCCUUAGCUCUAACUGCUAGACAAAUUGGUCAAGAUCCUUUUGAAGAUCCCUGGGAUGAUACAUUUUUUCAAAUAAACACUGAUCUGCCACUGUACAUGUACAUGACAGAUUUAUUAGAAUUUGUAGCUGGAGAUUAGGAGUUCAAUAUAAAUAUAAUUCAAUUUUUUAUGAUGUAAGUAUCUUUACCUAUAUUUCAAUUUACUUUAUGUUAAAUUAUUAUUGAUUAUGCUUUAACUAAUAACUUGUAGGUUUUUGCAUGGAGUCUGUCUCAAUGAGGAGAAGGAAAAUGUGUAUAGAUUCUUAGAUCCUGCAUAUACUAAUCCCACUGGAGCAAAAGCAACAGAGACCCAAUCAUACAUCACUAACACCCUGAAAAAAGAGGGAAAACAAAUUUAUUUAUGCCUUUAUAUUAAUGAGUAAGUUUAAUUAUAUGUUCUCAAUUAUUAUUAUUUCAUGUUUUAAAUAUUUACUAACUCUUUUCAUGGAUAAUAUAGGCGUCAUUGGUAGUUACUUGUCUUAUUAAUGGUUGAUAAGACUGUUGUGUGGUUUUGUUCCUUACACAAGAAGAUACUCCCAAAUCUUAAGAAUAUCAUUGAUACGUAAGUACAUUAUAAACUUAACUUUGUAUGUUACUAAUUAACCAUCUACUAACGAGGUUUUUUUGUCUUAACCAGUUCAUUUGCUUGGAUAUAACAUCCUAAAAGGUCGAUCCACUUUAAAUAAUUUGAAUUGGAUAAGAAUAAAAGUUUGUAAUUUUUUUUCUUUCUCUUUUCAUUGUUUAUCAAUAUACUAACAUUUACUUUUUAUUGAAUUAUAGUGUAAUAAACAACCAGGAAGCUAUAAGUGUGGCUAUUACGUUAUGCAAUGGAUGAUUACCAUUGUAAGACUAUGCAUUAAAAGUGGUUGGAAAGAGGUAACAUGAUAUGUUAAAUUAUUUUUAUAAUUCUUGAACAUAUAUGUAUCUUAAAACUAAUUUAUGUCAACUAUAUUGUGAAAUUCACUUCUUCACGGAAGAAGUACCAAUGACUUCGGAAGCCAUAGCAUAUGUGAGACAUUCUUGGUCCAUAUAUUUCAUAAAUUUUUAUAACUCCAGGAUAGUUGAUCAAUAGUGUAGGGAUUAUAUGUAAUUUGAUUAGUGUUUGCAAUGUACAUUUUGAUCAAUAUAUAUUUGAUUCUCUGAAUUUAUGUAUUUUUCUGGCUGGGUAUAUAUAAUUGAACAAGUUAAUUUAUAUGAUAAUUAGCACUAAACAGAUUGCACUAAAAAAACACUAUUUACAAGGGCGGCUAUUAGCAUAGUUGCACUCAUAAAUGUGAUUUACAAAGGUGGUUAUUUACCAAAGCCGCUCUUGUAAAUCACAUUACGAGUGCGGCUAUGGUAAUAACUGCACUUGUAAAUGCAUUACCCCUAAACCCUGAUUCAGAAGCAUAUACAAGUGCGGCUACCAGAAAUAGCCGCCUUUAUAAAUAGUAUUUACAAAUGCGGUUAUAUAGCCGCAGUUGUAUCUCUUCGAUUUAGGAAUGUGUGCUGAUCAAAUGCAGUUAUAUAGUCGCCAUUGUUUAACCAUUAUGCAUUAGUGUUAAGACAUGAUUUCUCCUGGUUUCAGCUUAGGUUGUGUAUAUACAAGAGUCUUUGUCCGUGACGACACAGGCUAUAUGACUUCUAGCUCAAUGACGAGGUUCGUGACAAGGUUGAUUCUUAAGGAUUACAUGGACUUAAUUAGCACAAUUUAAAAACGUAUUUAAUCUUUUUUUAAAAUGUUAUCUAAAAUAGUAGUUAAAGCACCACAUUUUUAAAAAUAUUGUCUAAAAUGCUAUUUAAAAUAUCUACAAUUUUAAAAAUGUUGUUUAAAGUACUCACACUCUAGUCCACAUUUUAUAAGAUGUUGUUUAAAAUAAAUAGGCAACACUUUUUUAAAAUGCUUUGAUAUAAAGUAAAAAAUCUUACUAAGUGGGUAACAAUAAAAAAGUAUUGCUUAUACUCACUUUCGGCAACACUUUUCUAGCCAUUUUCACUCACUACACCAUUUUUUUUACCUUAGACAAUGCCUAAAAAGCGUUGCCUAAAGUAGGAAAAGUGUUGUCUUAACUUUAGGCAACGCUUUGGUAACGUUUUUUUAGGCGUGGAAUAUGCAACCGUGGACUUAGGUUUAGAUAAUGUUUUUUUGCAGUCGUUGCCUUAUACUGGUAGAAUAAGCAACAUUUUCCCAAAAAAAUUUAGGUAACGCUUUUUCUCUUAAUGUUUAGGUAACACAUUUUUAGUGUUAUUGCCACAUUUUUUUAAAUGUUGUCAUUGGUAUAAUCAACAUUUUUUUUAAAUGUUGUCAUUGGUAAAGGCAAUGCUUAUUUACAUGUUGCCUAUCUUUUUAGGCAACACUUAUUUACAUGUUGUUCGUCUUUUAGGCAACACAUUUUCAGUGUUGCAUAUUGAUAGAAUAGGCAACGCAUUUUCAGUGUUGCAUAUUGAUAAAAUAGGCAACGUUUUAUUUUUCAUAAUGUUUAGGCAACGCUUAUUUACUUGUCUGUCUUUUUAGACAAUAUUUAUGUACAUGUUGUAAGUAUUUUUUACAACACUUUUUUAAUGUGAAAACUUAUGAAAAACAUCUUAAUUUAUAAAAUUACGUUAUAUGCAACAUUUUAAACUGAUUUAAAACAUAAUUUCAUUGUAUACCAAAAUAUUUCAAAUGUGCAAGUUGCAUUUUUCAUUGUAUACAAAAAUAGUAGAAGUUGUAAUCAUUACAACUAAUUAGAGUUAGGAAAUAUCUCAAAAUUUCUACAUUUCUUCAAUCGAUCAUAAAUCUUGUGACACCAAAAUUAGUUUUUAUUAUUGAUAAAUAGUUUCUAAAUUGGUAUCUAAUUAGCUACCUAAGUUUUAGCUACAAAUUAUUUAGAUUCUAAAGUUGGUAUCUAAUUAAAUACUAAUUUAGAAAUCAUUUAUCAAUAAUAGAAACUAAUUUAGAUACUAAUCAUUUUUUUAGUCUCUAAAAUAAUAUCUAAUUUUGUCAAUUUAACAAAUAUUAUCUCUAAGAUUGAUUUAUAUAUAAUGAUUUUCUUGUAGUGUUUUAAUUACAUGAUUUGUCUCCUCAAUUUGCGUCUUAUAUACACAACUUUAAUUUAAAUUUAUUAAUCUUCAUGGCCAUCUCAAAUUUUAAAAAUGCAAAAUAGUGAAAGAAAAGAUGCCAAAUAAAUCAAAAAAACUUGAAACGAUAUGAUAGAAUUUUUGUAUGGUAGAUGACUUUAAAAAAGGCGUUAAGAUUGUUUUUGAAGCAUAGAUUACAUACCAAAUAAUGAAAUUCGAGUUAUUCAUCUUUUAAGAUAAUUUUUUUUACAGAACUGUUUAUUAUUAUUUAUUUUCCUCAAAAUUUGUGUCAUUGAUACUUGAACAAUUUAUUUAUUUACAUAUACUAUUUAUGUUUAUGCAUUUAUUAAUUUUAGUAUAUUUAGUUUUUUAUUUAUUUAUUCGUAUAUGUCUGAUGUUAUUUCUUAUAUAUUAAUAUUUGUUUUGUAUUUUUUUUCUAAUUUAAAUUUACAUUUACAUUUACAUUUAUAUAUAUAUAUAAUUAUAUAAAAAUAUAUUUGUACUUCUUUAUAAUUCAUAAAUUACAUGCUAAUUAAAUUUGUAAACAUGUUCGUACUUAUUGUUAAUUGAUUUAAAUAUUUAUAUCUUUUUAUAAAAAAUAAUAAUUAAUAUAUAAUUAAUGAACAGUGAUGAUAACAUAGUUAAUUUAAAUAUUUAUAUCUCUUUACAAAAAUUAAUGAUUAAUAAUUACUAUAUAAUUAAUGAACAGUGAUGAUAAAAUAGUUAAUUUAAAUAUUUAUAUCUCUUUACAAAAAUUAAUGAUUAAUAAUUAAUAUAUAGUUAAUAAGCAGUGAUGAUAAUAAUUAAUAAAUAUUUAUAUAUCUUCAUAAGAAUUAAUAAUUAAUAUAUAAUUAAUGAAUGAUAAGAUCAUUAAUUUUUUUUAAAUAAAAGCUUUCAUGUUAGGCAUCACUAUGUCAUUUAAGAUCUCAGCUAGGCUGAGACUUCAAGUAACAACAAUCAUUUACCAUCACAUGAAAAAAAUAUUAUUAAAUAAAAGAAAAAAGAAAGAAAAUACAAAAAUACGGGGGGACUAGACCAAAACCCUUAUUUUAACAAAAACGAUACGUAGGUAGACUAUACCUAUUCAUAAAGAAUUCUAAGAACAGACAAGGUGGAAGCCUAUUAUACCAAAGAAAAGAUUCUCAAUGAAAAAGUCCUAAAUUAGUCAACUUAUCAGCACACGCAUUUCCUUCCCGAAAAAUAUGAGUAACCGUCGAUAAGAUCAUUAAUUUAAAUAUUUAUAUCUCUUUAAAAAAUUCAUAAUUAAUUAUAGUAAUCUCUAUUUAUCUUGAAAGGGAGGACUGAUGACUUCCAACACUUAUAAAUACCUCCUUCUGCAUUGCUAAUCAAUUAUGCAGAAAAUUAAAGAAAACACAGGACACAGUGUUCACUUCUCUGCAUGAAAACUCUUCAUGCUGGUUUUUCCUCCCUAUCGCUACCUUAAUCAUCUUUUUACCUAUUGUCAUCAAUCUUUUAUCCAAAUGUAAUCACAAUUUCAAUUCUGCAAGGAUAAAAAAAACCUCACUCAUCGCAAUCUCCAAUCCUUUGCUCAAACCUAUGGCCCUUUAAUGUUACUUCACUUGGGAAGGGUGCCAGUUCUUGUGGUUUUCACAACUGAGGCAGCUCGUGAGGUUAUGAAAACACACGACCUGGCUUUUUCAAACAGACCAUAGGUUUGAACCUUUUUGGCACUAAGAAGAUGCAAGACAGAAAUACUCCUUAUCUGCUUCCAGUAGUUGCCAUAUGGAGCAAAUGCCACAUCUUUGGAACUAUAAAAGAAGAUAUCCGACAUCUUACGAUGUGGUCUGUUGGAAAAAACAAGGUCGUGUGUUUUCAUAACCUCACGAGCUGCCUCGGCUGUGGAGACCACAAGAACUGGCACCUUUCCAAAGUGAAGUAAGAUUAAAGGGCCAUAGGUUUGAGCAAAGGAUUGGAGAUUGCGAUGAGUGAGGUUGCCAACUUGGUGGAGAUUUCCUAUUAUUGGAAGCUUUAGAGGAGAUGGUGGUGAGGUUUUUUUGCUCCUUGCAGAAUUGAAAUUGUGAUUACAUUUGGAUAAACGAUUGAUGACAGUAGGUGAAAAGAAGAUGAUUAAGGUAGCGAUAGGGAGGAAAAACCAGAUUGAAGAGUUUUCAUGCAGAGAAGUCAACAUUGUGUCGUGUGUUUUCUUUAAUUUGCUGCAUAAUUAAUUAGCAAUGCACAACAAAUGCUUCUCAUAAACCAGUUUGUAUCUUGAAAUGGUGAAUGCACAAAAGAAAUAAGUUUUUAGGUUUUGUAGAUGUACAUAAAAACAAAAUUAUUUGACUUAAUGAAUAACAAUAUCAUGAGAAAAACCGAAUGGAGAGCAAUAUCAUGAGAAAGACUGGAUGAAGAGCACUAUGAUGAAAAAAACAAAACAUUUAAAUUGUAUCAGUAAAUGCAAUAUAAAGAAACGCAAAAGAGUAGAAUCAUGUUGUAAAGAGAAGCUUACCAAGAGCUCUUGAAGAGUUUUUGGCACCACUAGGAUUGAGAAGUGUAGUGCGGGAUCCAUGAAGAAGUGCGCGUAUAAAGAAUGAAAAAAAGGCUCUAAACUUCAUUUGAAAUCAAGAAUCAAUUGAGAUUUUAAAUUUGAAAUUAAAAAACGAUUAUCUUGUUUAUGUACACGGUCUUUCUACUGUACCGUAAUUUAGGCUUGCGUGUGAGAGAGAAACGGAAACACCAAUUUCCUCCAUCCAAAGCAGCUUUAGGGUUUCGUGACAGAAAAAAAGAAAUCCUAAUCCAACUUGAGAGCAUCUUGUGACUUUUGCAAAUUGUCUUCCACACAGCAAGAAGAAGCUAUGUCAGUGUGCCACAUGUGUUGUUUCUUCUUUUAGUAAAAUUGCAUUUUGAUUUUUUCUUAAAAAAAUGUGGUUGUGACAUGUGGCAAAAGUUUUCGAUUGCUCCCAUGAAUUAUAUUAAGUAUAGAAUUUUAUAUUAUUAUUUAAGUAGAAAAAUAAAAUAUUUAGACACUACAAGAGAAAAAAACCAUUUUGUGUGGGCCAAAUACGGACGCAAAAGCUAAAAAACUGACGCUUAUGCAUCGGAUUCGCGUCCGUUCCACAUCCCACGAAAAAACCGACGCAUGUGAUGAAGAAAAAAAAAAACAUUUUAUUUUGCUUUCUAACCAGAUUACCUGUAAAAAUUAAAUACCAACCAAAUCACAUUCAAACAAAUUACUAUCAUUCACAAUACAUCUAUAAACACCCAAAUCCACAAACACAUCCAAAGCAUGAAAUCAAAAUCCACAAACACAUCCAAAGUAGAAAAGCAAUAGAAAUAGUUAAACAAAAGAUAUGAAUACUUGAAAAAAUAUUACAACUAAAAUUGUACAUUACAAAUUUAACUAGAAGUAGCAAAAUGAAUCUCAUAGUGAUGUGAUAAACCUGUAAAAAAAUAUAAACAAUAUAAAUAAAUAAAUCAAAUAAUUAAAAUAUUUAGUAUAUAAUAAAAAUAUCAAAUAGUUAAACUUACAUUAUAGGAUGCACUUUAAGGAACAGGUUGAUCAUCCUGUUCUGGAUCAUACUCAUGAUCGAAUUGUGUUGUGCUAUUGGAAGUAGUUUUGUCACGUUCCAUANNNNNNNNNNNNNNNNNNNNNNNNNNNNNNNNNNNNNNNNNNNNNNNNNNNNNNNNNNNNNNNNNNNNNNNNNNNNNNNNNNNNNNNNNNNNNNNNNNNNAAGUUUAGCAUGAAGCAUUUGAUUUUUAGUCACAUGUCCAGAUUGUGAAGUGUCGGGCGCAGAGGCUUGGGUGAGAGAAGAGACUCCUUGGCGGAUGUUAGCAGCCAAGUCUGUCGUACCAUACACCCGACCUCUACUCUUUCCUCCGACAACUUCCUUCCAUGUUUGAAGCUUAGUUGCAGGAUCAAGUUGGUGGACAUCAAUGUUAGAGUCCUAAGAACUAUUUGCUUGAAGGGCCUUCAAGUGCUCAUGAUACUUUUCCUACACAGAUCAUUACAAAAUGAAAAUGUUAGAAAAUUAAAAUAUAAAUAUAAAACAAUUUAAAAGAAUAACUUACAUAAGUUUCUCGAGCACGAGAAUCAACCCAUUCACCCUUCUUAUUUGUGUGGGUGGCCAUAAAUAGUUCAUCAGGUUCUGGAGGACGACCAUAUUGACGUUCCUAAUAAUGUUGUACAAUUAAAAGCAUUAUAGGUUGCAAAUGCAAAAUGAUUUUCAUGUAAGGCAGUGACAAGUACUUAUCAAGGUAACUACAAUAUCUGAAUGUGAUUUUCUACCUGUGGAGUGCAGUGCUCCACCACGAGCUGAACUCUUAUUGGCUUUAUUUUGAGUUGAUUUAUCUUUGAAUUUUUGUGAAUCCCAAUAGUUUAGAAGUUCAACCCAUGCUUGCUGACCUAUCCAAAUAGGGCGGACAACCUUUCUCCUAGCCUUAGUCAACAUGUCACAAAGUCUUUUUUUGACUUUAGACUCGUAGACCUUUUUAAUUUGGCAUUCNNNNNNNNNNNNNNNNNNNNNNNNNNNNNNNNNNNNNNNNNNNNNNNNNNNNNNNNNNNNNNNNNNNNNNNNNNNNNNNNNNNNNNNNNNNNNNNNNNNNGAUGAAAAUAGUUACUUUGAGUCCACAAGAAAACAAGUGACUGUAGUUUGUCAAAAAUUAAAAUUACCUGAAAGUCAGUCCACCAUUUUAGUUUGUCCUCCUCAGGCAUGGCAUCAUAAUGAUGAUAUGGACCUCUAAAUUGAGAUCGAAUGCAAUGUCCAAUGGCCUCACUAGCAAAAUGAUUUGGUGUCCAACUACAAAUACAAACAAAUAAAAUUACAAACAUAGUAAUAUAAAGAUAAAAUUAAAUGUACAUUUAGGAUGACUUACCCUCUACCAAGAAGUCGGAUGAUGACCCUACCAGUAGGGUCACGCUGGACCUCCUCAGGGGGGAGGUUAUGCUCUGAAGCAGCAGUGGCACCAUGGUCAACAUGGUCAGAGAGGCCUUGCACAGAGCCAGUAGUAGUCGGGACAGAUGAAGAAGAUGUGGUGUGGACAAUGGGAUAAGGAGUAGUCUGCACCAAUGUACCAGGGGUGGGCUGCACAAAUGUACCAGAGGUAGGGUGGAGUGGAAAACUCUGAGUCUGGUGGAGUGGUUCAGGGACACUCUGAUGGUAAGUCGGAGCAGAGGAUGAUGGUCCUGGUGGUACUGGAAUACUAAGAGGACGAGGUGAUAUAGUGGGGUGUGGAUAAGCAUGCCGAAAUUCUCCUGCCCAGAGGACGAGGGGAUGGAGGAAGACGGGCUAGAAGAUGGNNNNNNNNNNNNNNNNNNNNNNNNNNNNNNNNNNNNNNNNNNNNNNNNNNNNNNNNNNNNNNNNNNNNNNNNNNNNNNNNNNNNNNNNNNNNNNNNNNNNNNNNNNNNNNNNNNNNNNNNNNNNNNNNNNNNNNNNNNNNNAAUCCUACCAUCCCUCCCUCUAGUCCUAACCAUUUUUCCUGAAAAAUUAUCUGUUCAUAAUAUUAGUAUAAAUAUGUAAUGAUCACAUGUUUUGUUUAUAAUUGAUUACAAGUAAUAUACAUUAGUCUUCAUUGUUAUCAAAAUCUGAAUCGUCAGUGUGUAUGUGAUGUUCUGAAUAAUCUUCAUUUAAGAGGUCAACAUCUUCAUCAUCGUCAUCAUUACGUGCUUCAAUAUCAUUAUCGUCAUCAAGUAGUUCGACAUUAGAUGUGUCAGCUAAACAUUGUAAAUGUUCAAUUCUUGUAACUGGUAACACAUUAGACGUCUCCUCAGCUUGAUACGGCAAUUCAUCAUUGAUGUUGUCAACUUGCACAUAUCCUCGAGGUUUUGUUUUAAUUGGAACACACCACCCACGAAGGUUUUUACAUAUGUUUGGAUAAGUGAGAUAAUAAACUUGUUUGGCCUUUUGCGGAAGAAUGAAUGGAUCAUAGGGUCCAUAUCUGCCACUUAACUUGAUUUCAACUAAAUUAUAUUGUGAAUGAAAUCUAGUCCCAACACUAAUUGUAGGAUCAAACCAUUCACCCACGAGGCUCUUAUAAACGUGCGACAUCACAAUAAUCCGUGACCCACGAGGCUCUUAUAAAUGCGCGACAUCACAAUAAUCCAAACCAGCAAUAAUCAGACCAGAAACCAACAAUAAUCCAAACCAGCAAUAAUCCAAACCAGCAACCACAACUCAAUAUCCAAAUAAAAAAUUAGUAAAAUGUGAACUUGAGGAGGAGGCAGAGCUUGAUCGGAGGUAGAGAAGGAAACGGAAGGAGAGCUACACGCGCGGAGGAAGCUUGACGUGGAGGGGAAGCUCGCGCGGAGGAAGGUCGACGCGGAGGGGAAGGUCGACGCGGAGGAAGCUCGCGCGGAGGAAGCUCGACGUGGAGGGGAAGGUCGACGCGGAGGAAGGUCGACGCAGAGGAAGCUUGAUGCGGAGGGAGAACUUGACGCAGAGGAAGCUCGACGCGGUGGAAGCUCGCGCGAAGGAAGCUGGACGUGGAGGGGAAGCUUGAAGAGGAAGCUGAACGUGAAGGAAGCUCGCACGCGAAAAUUGGGAAUUAGGUUUUCAGAGAUUUGGGGGUUUUGAAAAACUGGGAACCCCAAAAAAUUUCUAUAUACCCAAAAUAAAUUAAAACAUUUUUUAUAUAAAAAUAUUUAAAUUUAAUAUAAAAAAAUUAAUUUCAUUAUAUAACAAAAACUUUUAUUAAUUUAUAAAAAACAAUUUAAUUUAAUUUAUACAAUACAAAAAUUAAUUAAAUUUACACAAAAAUAUUUAAUUUAAUUUAUACAAUAAAUAUUUACUUUAAUUUAUAUAAAAUAAUUUAAUUUAAUUUCUACAACAUAAAAUUAAUUUAAAUUGUAAAAAAAUAUUAUUUAAUUUAUAUUAAAUUUAUAAAAAAUAUUUAAUUUAAUUUAUACAAUAAAAAAUGACUUUAACAUCUACUACCACAAAUAUCAAUGAAUCCUAUUAUUGAAAUUGCUCAUGAGACCUUCAUCAUCCCUUCUAACUUAUAAUCCAAAAUCUAAUAAUCAACUAUAUUCCAUGAUUUUAAGUUACUUCUAUAACUAUCACGAAAUGACUCAUAUUUCUCAAAUUGCUUAUGAUACUCUCUUUCAACCUUUACAAUGCACUUCUUAGUUCAACUCUUACCUUGACAAUGGACUACGGUUAUUAACUUCUUCCUGCUAGGGAGAUGAGACCUAGAAAACUAUUGAAGUCUUCGUCUUCUUCCCUCGGUCGGGCAGAUUGUUGGGUGCUUGACUGGGAUCUUUCUCAUCUUCGUGCUUCUUUCCUCGGCUCUCGGUCUAUGGCGAACACCGAUGGGGGGUACCUGCGAAGGCACUCUGACGCUAAGUCAAUGAAGCGGGUGAUCAUUAUUUUGGUAGGUGAACAGUAAUAAAUGACGUACCUUUCUUCUUGGAAUGUGUGUUGUGUAUAUUAUUUUAAUGGGCUGACCUUAUUGGGUCUGAUUAGUGGAGUGGAUCUGGCUUAGGGUUGUAUUACUUUAUCCUUAAUGACAGAUUAGCUUCACUGACCUUAGUUUCAGCGUUAACGGUAGUAUGGGUCAGCCGACCGUGAUGAUUCCACUCGUCUCGGCCAACCUUCCAUGGCACAUAACUUAUAAUCCAAAAUGUAAUCAUGAACUCUAUUCCAUGAUUUUAAGUUCAUUCUAUAUCACACCCAGUCAAAACUUACUUAUUUAUGUUACGUUUAUUAAAAACUAAGUCUACUAAAUUUACUAUGUCAAAGACCUAUUAUUUAGUAUAUUGGGAAACUAUAUUAACACACUUAUAAGGAAUAUUGCAUAUGUAUCAUCUCGUUACUUACUACAUUAUUAUGUGCUUCAGUUGGAAAACAUUAAUUUCUUUUCGAAAUCAUACUAAGUAACUAUAACAAUGACAUUUAUAGAGCAUGUAGUCAACUUUGGAACACUUUGGAUAUUGUAUCAAUCUAACAAUGAAGAAUAAGUUACUUACUCACACACUUAAUCUUAAUAUGUUUGUAUCAUAUACAUUUUCGCUNNNNNNNNNNNNNNNNNNNNNNNNNNNNNNNNNNNNNNNNNNNNNNNNNNNNNNNNNNNNNNNNNNNNNNNNNNNNNNNNNNNNNNNNNNNNNNNNNNNNNNNNNNNNNNNNNNNNNNNNNNNNNNNNNNNNNNNNNNNNNNNNNNNNNNNNNNNNNNNNNNNNNNNNNNNNNNNNNNNNNNNNNNNNNNNNNNNNNNNNNNNNNNNNNNNNNNNNNNNNNNNNNNNNNNNNNNNNNNNNNNNNNNNNNNNNNNNNNNNUAAAAUUAAACACUUCAUCUAAUUUAAAUAAAUGUUAAUUUAACUAAUUUAUAUCAUAAUUUCAAAAAUAAAAUAGUUAUAACAAUAUAUAAAUAAAAUAAAUUUAAAAUAAAUAAUUUUUGAAAUAAUAAAAUAUUUUAUAUAACAUUUAAAUAAUUUAAAUAUAUAUUUUCUUUUACUCAAUUAAUUUAAUUUAAUAAAUUUAAUUUAACUAAUUUAUAUAAAAAAUUGAUAAAUUAAAUAAUUUAUUAUAAUAUUAAAGAAAUAAUUUUAAAAUAAAUAUAAUAAAGAAUUAAAUAUUAUAAUAUUUAUUAUACAUUAAAUAAAUUUAAAUUUUAAAAUCCUAAAAAUGCGUGGGCCAUUGCGGACGCAUAUGCGUGGGCUUUGUGGCCGACGCAUAUUUAUUAUAAUUCUCUUAAAAAAAUAAUUAAAUCCAUUUGUGCGUCACUUUUGCGUCCAAGCUCAUUCUUGAGUCGGCUUUUAGCCUUUUUGAUCGACGAGACUAGCGUCUGCAAGUUGCCCACGCAAAAAUUUGGAAGCUAAUUUUUCAUUUUGCGUCCAAUGUGAUUUUUGCGUGGGCUUUUACCCAUUUUGGCCGACGAGAGUAGAGUCCGCUACUGGCCCACGCAAGAUUUUGGAAGCUACUUCUUAGUUUUCUUGUGGUGAGAAUUUGUAUUUAUUUUAGAUUUUGAAAAACUUAGAAAUUGAAUUAAUUUAGAUUUUUAUUUAAGAAUGAUAUCAAAUAAUUUAUGAUAUGUAUUUAUUUAGGAAUUUUAUUGAUUUUAGAUUUUUAUUUAAGAAUGACAUUAAUUUUUUUAUUUAAAUUUAUUUAUAAUUUUAAAAUUUUUAUUAAUUUAUUAAUUUAAUAUUUUUAUUUAAGUAGUAAAUAAAAUAAUUUAAGAUUUUGUAUUUACUCAAGAUCUGAAAAACUUAGAAAUUUUAUUUAUUUGAGAUUUUUAUUUAAGUAUGACAUAAAAUAAAAAUUUAUGUUUAUUUAGGAUUUUGAAUAAUUUAAAAAAUUUAUUUAUUUUAGAUUUUUAUUUAAGUAUGACAUUAAAUAAUUUAAAAUUUAUAUUUAUUCUGAUUUUGAAUAAUUUAAGAAUUUUAUUUAUUUCACAUACUUUAUUUAAGUAGGAUAUUAAAUAAUUUUAAAAUUUUAUUUGUUUAAAAUUUUAAAUAAUUUAGGAUUUUUAUUUAUUUACAAUUUUGAAUGAUCUUUUCUGUUCUAUGUCACGCUUUAUUAGAAAAUACUGCAACAUUUGCUUUAAUUAGUUGUGAGUUUAGGUUGGGGAAUAAAAUGGUUUGCUAAACAAACUCAAGGUCUAUAUUAUAUUAGUAAUUUUAUUCUUAAUUUAUAUAUUUUUCCCUUAGACUCGUUAUACUGAUGGUUAUACUGGAAAAAUCAGCUUGAAAAGCUUAUGAACACAAUUAAAAUAGCUUAAAUAAGUCAAUCAAUUGACACAGUACGAAUAUCAAUGCAAAGAAUGCAUUUUCCUUCUGCUAGAGUAUAAAAUUAGAAAUAGGUAGAUAAAAUUGUGAUACUUGAAUUCUACAUUUUUUAAUUAUGAAAUUAAAAAAGUACUGCAAAAAAGUUACAAUCUCCAUUCACCUAACAUAAAUUGGAAACCCCUACCACUCGUGUUAGUACAUAGUAUUCAACCAUGUAGGCUCUACAUAUCACAUAAAAAGUUAACGAGCUCCUAGUAUGUGAAUAUUUUUGUCACAAAAAUAAAAGGGAAAGGAUCUUAUAUUUGAUAAUAUAUGAUACCAUUUCAAGAGUUUCAAGGAUAUUCUGAACAUCAACCUUGACAACUUUGAUAAGAAUCUGAUUCAAAAGUUUUAAAUAGUUCAAGAGAAAGUGAUGAAUUAAAAUAAUUUUCAUAAGUAAUCAAUAUAAGAACACUAAAAAAAAAUCAGUAUUAUCUACGGAUUUUUAUCCACGAAUCUGAGUCCGUAGGUAAAUUCAGCAUUACUUACGAAUAUUACCAACAGAUUCUGAAUCCGUAGGUAAAUUCAGCAUUACCUACCAACUAUUACCCACGAAUUCUGAAUUCGUAGGUAAAUUCAGCAUUACCUACCAACUAUUACCUACGGAUCUUAUUACCUACCAACUUUUACCUACGGAUCUCUAUUACCUACCAACUAUUAUACAUAUUAUUAAUAUUAAUAUAAUAAUUUAAAUAAUAUAAAUAGUAUUAUAUUAAUAAUAAUAAUAUUAAUGAUAUUAGUAAUAUAAUAAAAUUAAUAAUAUCAGUAAUAAUAACAUUAAUAAUAUAAAUAGUGUUAAUAAAAAUAUAUAUAAAAUUAACAUUUUUUAUAAUAUUAAUAAUAUUAACAUUAUUUAUAAUAUUAAUAAAUAUUUAAUAAUAUUAAUAAUAUUUAAUAAUAUUUAAUAAUAUUAAUAAUAUAUAAUAAUAUUAAUAAUAUUUAAUAAUAUUAAUAAUAUUUAAUAAUAUUAAUAAUAUUUAAUAAUAUUAAUAAUAUUAAUAAUAUUUAAUAAUAUUAAUAAUAUUAAUAAUAUUUAAUAAUAUUAAUAAUAUUUAAUAAUAUUUAAUAAUAUUAAUAAUAUUUAAUAAUAUUAAUAAUAUUAAUAAUAUUUAAUAAUAUUAAAUAAUAUUAAAUAAUANNNNNNNNNNNNNNNNNNNNNNNNNNNNNNNNNNNNNNNNNNNNNNNNNNNNNNNNNNNNNNNNNNNNNNNNNNNNNNNNNNNNNNNNNNNNNNNNNNNNAUAUUUAAUAAUAUUAAAUAAUAUUAAUAAUAUUUAAUAAUAUUAAAUAAUAUUAAUAAUAUUUAAUAAUAUUAAAUAAUAUAAAUAAUAUUUAAUAAUCUUAAUAAUAUUUAAUAAUAUUAAACAAUAUUAAUAAUAAUAAUGAUAUUAAAUAUAUGAAGAAUGUUAUUAAUUUUUAUUUUAUUAAUUAUAUUAAUAUUGAUAAUCAUACUUAUAAAUAUAAUAAUAAUCAUAACAUGACAACAAAACUUGACUGGUGUAAUGGUUAAAGCUUCUAUGAACAUAUCUCAAGGGACUUGGCUUCGAGUUCCACCUGCUGCAGUUGAGUUCUAACGUAGUGGAAACCGGUACCAACUAACAAUCAAUAAUUAAAAUAAUUUUCAAAUAAUGUGAUUUUAUAACGACGGUUCUAGAGCCGUCGUUAUAAACAACUUUAUAACAACACCACCAAUAACGAUGGUUCAUAAAUCGUCUUUAUAUGUCUUUUUUAACCGUUGUUAAUGAAUUUUUCUAUACUAGUGAUAGUUUGGUGCACUACAAGAAAAUCAUUGAAUAAGGAAAUCAGGAUGAGAGGGAGGGAGGAUGGAGGGUGACUACGCUCUGGUGGAUAGAGGGAGGAGCAGAGGAGAAAAUCUGAUUCACCCUUAAUCAUUCGUCACCAAACUCCUGUACUAUGUUUUUCUUUUCAAAUUUUCCAAGUACCCAUGGUGAAUAUGAUAUGCUGAAGAUUUUCCAAAGAUGGGCUAGGAUGAAAGAGGUGUUCAUUUCGAGAUGGCGGAAUAGGUGGGGAAGAAGGUUUGGCUUUGUGAGAUUUUUUAUGGUGCCAAAUGAGUACAAACUGGAGAAGGAGUUGGAUCAGGUAUACAUUGGCAAUAUGAAGCUCUAUGUUAACUUGCCAAAAUACAAGAGAUCUGGGUCUUCUCAACAAGGUGGGGUGUUACUUAAGGGAGACAAGGGUAAGAAUCACCAUAACCAUGUACAGAUGCAACUGAAGGGUAAGAAGGAAUGGAGAGAGAUAAAAGGAAAAAGCCUUCAUAGGGACUGUUAUGAGAAGUGUUCAUACGCUGAAGCUGUUAGGAAACCUUCUUAGGACUCCUGGACAGGCCCAAGUAUUGAGACCUCCUCAACAGUUCUUCCUUGGAUGUCAAACAGCGCAGUAGGUCGGAUGGCUCUAGAUAUGAACUUUGUGUCCUUAAGCGAGGAGUUUAUCAAAGGAGGUAUGUCUAUGAUUAAGGUGAGAUAUAUGCGUGAUAAUCUUGUUCUCUUCACCCCUAAGGAAGGAGAACAAAUGGAAGAGAUCAUUAAGCUGAACAACAAAUGGUUUACGAGUCUGUUCGAGGAUAUUGAGCCUUGGUCUGAAUCACUGGUAGUGGGUCACAGGUUAGCAUGGGCGAGGUGCUACGACAUUCCAAUCCCCUUGUGGAAUAGGGAUUGUCUGUCUAAGGUUGUAGGCGAGGCAGCAGAGCUGGUAUCCAUCGACGAAGCUACUGAGUAGUGGGAGAACCUUGAGUGUGCACGCAUCCAAAUACGGGUGUUGAAUUCGCGUAAAGUUGAAGUUUCAAAAGGGUUUCGUAUUAAUGGCCAAAUAUACAACAUUAGUAUUAAUGAGGAGGAACCCAUCCAAGGAGGAGGGUCAUGCAUGUGCCCUGAACAUCUUUAUGCCUCUUCGGAUAGCAUUUCUUCAAUGGACUCCUUCAUUGUGGAAACUAUCUUCUCGGAUAAAGCAUUUGAGGAUGGGGACGCCAACAUCGUGGUUUCUUCCCAGCGGGGAGAGGAGGCUAAGGAGGGAAGAGAUAUUUCACUAGAGACAAAGUCGAAACAAAUAAGGGAACAUUCUCAAGUUGAAAGGGGGAAGCAGAAUAAAGAAAAUCUUUCUUGUGCAAAUGAGGUAAGGCGUGAGCAGGGGAUCUCUGUUGCUGGGGCAGCUUUUUCUGAGCAAGAGAAGGUCAACACAAUCUGUUCCUUUUUACAUAAGUCUUUGUUUGACCUGGCUCUUUGUGUCCAAAACUUUAAUCCCUCUACAACACAACCCGAUUUAGAUGUGGGCCAGUUUUCGAAAGCCCAAAUUAAUAAUAGUGGGCUGCUGGGCCUUAUGGAACAGGGGGUUCUGGGAGGAAUGGAUGAGGUGUGCGCAAGGGAAAUCGGAGGUACCAACGUCACCGGUUGGUGGAUGUUCGGAAUCGGCAACGGAGGCUUCUAUUAACUUUUAUGGAAGGAUUAUUGCAGAGCCUAAAAGUGGAUUGGAUCAACCAGAUGGUUCUCCCCGAAGCGGUGAGGAUGAAAGAGGGCCUUCGCCCCAACCUUCGCCCAACCAUAUUGGGGUUUUUGAUGAACCAAGCAGCGUGGGUAGCUCUACACCGGAGAGGAGAGGUUUGACCUUUGAUAAAGCUACACCAAGUGGGGAAGAAGGAUCCAAAACACCAGAGAAUGUGCGUAGGUUACGUGACCUUUGGGAGCAGGGCACAAAACAGUCUUGCCUGCGGUGGAGGUCCAAGGGUGGCUUCGGACCUCUUCACUACGGGAUUAACUCCUCAUCUAGGUUAAGUCACUGCUCCUUUGCUGAAUCUGUUAGUGACAUAGAACAUUGUAACAACAGGUUAAGGCUUGAGGAGUAUGUCGUUGAAUCUGCUCGUAUUUGGGAUGCGAGAAAACAGCUAGGCGUGAGGUUUUCGGGGGAGGAGGUGGAUGUUGUAGUAGAAUUGGAGUGUAUGGAGGUAUGGGACAAGGAAGUCAAAAAGUGUGCUGAGGAGGGUACCAACCAUGUUGUUUUAUGAUCAUACUCAAUCUCAACAUCAGAGGCCUAGGGGGGGUGGGGGAACCAAAGCAAACUACCUGAAACACGUUAUUGCCAAGGAGGAUGCAGAAUUUGUGUGUUUGCAGGAGACAAAAUCCGUUUCUAUCUCCGAUAGUAGAUGUUUCUCGCUUUGGGGGGUUAGUAAUAUUGGUUGGGUGCAUCAUGAAGAUGAAGACGGCGCAAGGAGCCUUUUAUCAAUGUGGCAUAAAGACAAAUGUUGCUACAAAUCGCACGUUGUAGGAUUAGGCUUCAUAUCUGUUGUAGGUCAGCAUAUUAAAUCUAGACGCACGUGUUUAGUGGUUAAUGUGUAUGCAGCUUGUAAUUAUAGAGCUAAAGUAACUCUAUGGAAGCUCUAACGUCUCUUAAAAGGUCUCAUCAAAACGUGGUAGGGUGUUUUUGCGGUGACUUUAAUGCUGUAAAAAGGGAAGAUGAAAGGAAAGGCAUUGGAGGUGGUUCUAGCCAGAGGAAGGAAAUGAAGGGUUCAACAAUUUUAUUGAUACAAACUGUUUGGUAGACAUUCCGAGUAUGGGGAAAAAAUUUACUUGGUUCAAAGCAAAUGGUACUGCUAAAAGCAGGCUAGAUAGAUUUCUUGUGUUCGAAUAAUGGAUUCAAGUUUUGCCCUUCUACAAACAAUAUGUACAACAAAGAAUUGUGCCUGACCAUUGCGCGAUUGUGGCAAAGUCUUGGGCCAAAGAUUGGGGCCCUAAACCCUUUCGUAAUAGAUGCGUGGUUUAUGGAGCCAGGAUUCAAACUGUAUGUGAAGGAGAAAUGGGGUUCUUACAUUGGUCAGGGAAAUGGUAUUUCUAGUCUCAAAGAUAAGCUAAAAUAUUUGAAGGCAGACCUCAAAGACUGGAAUAAGAAUGUGUUCGGGUGUAUGCAGACAAACCAGAAGCAAAUCCUCAAGGAAAUUAAGGACCUUGAUAUUAAGGAUGAAAGUGAAGUUCUUGAGGAGAGUGGUCAACUAAGAAGAAUGGAAUUACUUAGCCAAUUGCGGGAGGUGGAUAACAAGCUGGAUUCCCUUUCAAGGCAAAAAGCAAGAGCAAACUGGUGCAAGUUUGGGGAUAUGAACUCUAAAUUCUCUCACACGGCUAUUAGAUGGAGAAGACUUAAAAACGAAGUCAAAGGUGUGGAGGUUGGGGGGCAAUGGUGUGAGGAACCGGAAGUAGUACGUAGGGAAGCUAAGUCUUUGUUUGAGAAAAGGUUCACGGCUACACAAGAUUUUGGAGUAAAUUUGGGCUCUGUGGAGUUUAAAUGUCUCCCCUCUGAAAUCAGUACAAGGAUGGUAACAAGUUUCAUAGAGAAAGAGGUGAAAGAAGUCGUAUGGCAAUGUGAAGGUUCAAAGAGCCCAAGUCCAGAUGGAUUCAAUUUUACUUUUAUCAGGAAUUGUUGGGACGUCCUUAAAACUGACGUUAUGGAGGCUUUGCAGGUUUUCCAUGAAACCGGGGUGAUACCAAAGGGGUGUAAUGCCUCUUUUAUUGCUUUGGUACCUAAAGUGAGUGAUCCCCUUUCUCUCGACCAAUUCAGGCCCAUCUCCCUUGUAGGAGUCUUCUAUAAGAUUGUUACUAAGGUAUUAGUAGGUCGAAUGAAGGAUGUUCUCUCUUUGGUCAUUGACGAAGACCAAUCCGCUUUUCUGAGGAAUAGAGGCAUGUUGGAUAGUGUGCUUAUAGCAAACGAGGUGGUGGAGGUUAGGAGGAAUCGGAGGAGUGCACUUUGUUUUAAGGUGGACUACGAGAAGGCAUAUGACUCAGUAAGGUCAAACUUCUUACUUGAUAUGUUACAAAGGUUAGGCUUUCAUAGCAAAUGGGUAAGGUGGGUUACAGGCUGCUUGGAAUCGUCCUCCAUUUCUAUGUUGAUUAAUGGAAGCCCAACAGAGGAAUUCAAACCAUGAAGAGGGCUGAGACAGGGUGACCCUAUGGCUCCAUUUCUAUUCCUGGUGGUUGUUGAGGGUUUGGCUGGAUUAGUGAGACAAGCGACUAAGCAAAGCAUGCUUACAGGUGUGAAGGUGGAAAGAAAGGAAAUAGUAUGCAGUAUGCUCCAAUUCGCAGACGACACCCUGUUCACGAUUGCGGACUCUUUCUCAAAUGUUUUCACUAUAAAGACGAUUCUAAGAUGCUUUGAACUAGUCUCCGGAUUGAAGAUUAAUUUUCACAAAUCGAAAUUGGCAGGGAUAAAUGUGGAUAGGUUCACUUUAGAAACCUAUGCCAAGACUUUAAAUUGCAACACUAUGCGGAUGCCUUUCAAGUACUUGGGGUUGGAAGUAGGAGGUAAUCCAAGGAAGGUACUGUUCUAGGAGCCUGUCGUCAACAAGAUCAGUGCUAGACUUAGUACUUGGAAAGGGAGAUGCUUAUCUAUGGCGGGUAGAAUCUGCUUAAUCAAAUCAGUCUUUACAUCCAUUCCUCUCUUCUACUUAUCCUUCUUUAAAGCCCCGGUAUCGGUCUAUAACAGAAUUACGAGCAUACAAAGGAGAUUCCUGUGGGGUUGGGGCAGAGAUAACAGAUCCAUACCUUGGGUAAGCUGGGGAAAAAUCUGUAAACCUCUUGAGGAAGGUGGUUAGAAAUUAAAGACAUCAGGAAGUUCAACUAUGCCCUUAUGGCGAAAUGGAAAUGGAGGUUAAUGAGCGAAGCGAAGGGGAAAUGGAAAGAUAUCUUGGAGUCUAAAUAUACGGUGUUAUCUGGUGUUAACCAUGUUCGGUCUUGUUGCCAAUCCUGGUGGUGGAGAGACUUAGAAAACAUAUGUAGGGAGGGUUAUGGUGUAGGUUGGUUCCAACAAGCUGUUGCAUGGAAUGUCAGAUCUGGGGACUCUGUACACUUCUGGGAGGAUCCUUGGAUUAAUAACAAUAAUCUUAAGGAGUUAUACCCUAGAUUGUUCUCUUUAUCCCUGAAUCAAGGGAUGAUGGUGGGUGAGGCUGGAUUUUGGGAUGACUACGGAUGGCAUUGGCACCUAGAAUGGAGGAGGGAGAGAUUCAACUGGGAGUCAGUUUUGGAAGUAUAAUUAUUAACAACCUUAUCUAGGGAAGUUUUGAACAAGGACUCCAAGGAUAUUUCAUUACUUGGAGAGGGGACCCUAAGGGGUUUUUUUUCUGUGAAAUUAGCAUAUGGCCUCUUAACCAACCAAGGGUCCGGCCCAGGUAAUGCUGCUUUUAGCAUGCUGUGGAAGGUCAAAGCCCUACCAAAAGUCCUAUGCACAGCUUGGAAAAUCCUUUUGGACAAAAUCCCGACAAGCCAGAAUCUCGUGACACGAGGAGUCGUGGUGAACUCCCCUCUUUGUGUCUUUUGUAACCAGUCAGUGGAAUCCACCCAGAAUUUAUUCUUGGAUUGUGGUUAUGCUUAUCGUGUUUUGAUGUUUUGCUAUAGAUGGAUAGGUGUUCUGGGUGCACAGAACAAGGACAUUUGUAAUCAUUUUCUGAAUUUCCACUUACCUAACUUGUCCGAGAAACAGAAUUUGGUAUGGAAGGGAGUAUGGGCGGCGAUUACACGAUGCAUAUGAGAGCAUAGAAAUAAUGUGAUUUUCAAACAAGGCAUUCCUGAGGAAAUUCUUCAAGCAGCUCAACUUCUGUCAUGGUCCUGGCUCAAACAUAGGGAAGGUUCUUUUUCUUACUCUUUCACGGACUGGCUUUUAAAUCCUAUCCAGUGUCUUUUAUGUGUGCGCUGAGAAUAUUCUAGUGCUUCUGGGAAAGCUUGACGUCCAGUAUGCAGGGUAAUAGGUCAAUUAUUGUCUUCUUGGAUAUGCUGGAAUUUUGUCACGAAGGCUGGGCAGUAUAUAGCUGUAUCUGUUUAGAAGUGAAAUGCGCUGGUUUGUGGCUGGUUUGAAAGAUGCUGGUUUGUGGCUAUCUUGAUGCAGGUUCCUUCACGUUACUUGAAGCUAAGAAGUUAUGAAGUCCAGUAGGUUCCCAAUAGGUAUGCGUGGAAGUUAUGGUGCACCUGUGUUUCACUCUGAAGAAAUGGAUGUUCCAAAGUUUAGUCAGGCUUAACAGAUCUGUUUGCAUAGCCUUGUCAUGAUGGUAAUUGGAGGAGAGUUGGCAGGUUCUGAAUAUGCUUGUUUUGUCUUCUGUUGAUUCUAGCUUCAAUAUGGGGAUGCUGUCCUGGUACAGUAGGGGGUGAUAGGCAUUUAGUACAACCUCUGGUCUAUGCAGGUGUGAGAUUAGUAAUGGCAACCAUGUGGAAAGGUAUGGUUUGGAAAUAGGGUUUGAGCAUUUAUAUGGUAACUCAAAUGUGGCAGUAGCUAUGUGUGCGUUCCAUACAGAUAUUGGGGCAUAGGAGAAAAUUGGAGUGAAAAACUGGAAGGGCCUAACUCUAGUAGAUCUGGUUUGGUGUUGCUUGGAAAACCCACAUUUAUCUUUUCAUGUUUUUAGCUACUAGUAGUUUUGUAUAAGGGUUGGGACACCCCUGAAGUGUCCCUUUUAAAUUUAAUUAAUUCAUUGCCGAUAAAAAAAAACAAAAAAAUCAUUGAAUAGAAACCAAUUUUAGAAAAAAAUAAUAAUUAGUUGUUAUAGUGACUAAAUUAGAGACCAUUUUAGAGUCUAAAUUAUUUUUUGAUUUCUAAAUUAGUCUGUAUUAUUUAUUAAAUAAUUUCUAAAUUGGUAUCUAAUUAGCUAUCAAGGUUUUAACUACCAAUUAUUUAGAUUCUAAAUUUGGUAGCAAAAACCUUGGUAAUUAAUUAGAUAUCAACUUAAAAAUUAUUUAACAAUAAUAGAAACUAAUUUAAAAACCAAUUUCUUUUUAAUCUCUAAAAUUGUCUCUAAUUUAAUCACUAUAACAAUCAAUUAUUUUUUGUCUUAUAAAAUAUACUAUAACAAUAUAUUCCAUAUGAAAGCUGAGAAUAUAAUCCCUUAUUUUUAUUCUAAGUUAUUAUGUUUAUCUUUUAACAGUAACUUCUUAGACAUCAUAGGAUGCAAUUGCUAUGAGAGGAAAUUCUCUAUGAUUGCUCAACCCAUUACUUUCGUUGAUGUUCAACGUCUGUUGCCCCACCUCUCCACCUGGAACUUCCCAAUUAAAUUGGUGAACAAGGUUUGCCACGACCAACUCAAUCACAUUCGUCACAAACAUUAUUCCUGGACAACCCCUCCUUCCUGCUCCAAAUGGUAACACUUCAAAAUCAAGUCCUUUCACAUCUAUUGAACUAUUUAAGAAUCUCUCUGGCUCAAACUCUUCAGCUUUGUCCCAACAAGAAGGAUCUCUUGCAAUUGCCCAAGCAUUAACUACUACUUGUGUGCCACUUGCAAUGUCAUAGCCCAUCACUUUGGCAUCUUCUCUGGAUUCCCUUGGAAUCAACAAGGGAGCUGGGGGAUGUAAUCGAAAAGUUUCUUUAAUCACUGCCUUCAUAUAAUGCAUACUAGUUAAAUCUUCCUCAGUUAUGCGACUUCUGCCACCAACCACAUUCCUUAUCCCAUCGCAAUUGGGUACCUUAGGAGUUCUGUCAUUAUCCAUCCUAAGAUUGUGGCGCUACUCUCAGUGCCUGCGGCAAACAUAUCCUGGAACAAAUACCCAUUGUCAGUUUCAUUGUCUACCUUGAAUUUCCAUGAAUGGAAAUAAACUCAACAUUUAUUAAGAUUUUGUGCAACUAAUAUGCGACUUAACUUUUUAUAGAAAAGUAGUGUGUAUGUGUGGAACAUUGAAAAGAAAUAACUUUUGUACAACAAUUGUACAAGAAAAAUAUUUGAAAACUUGUUGUUUAACUAUUUGCAACAUAGACCCUAUGACAAGUGAAUUUCAUGUAAAAUAAUUUAAAAGCUUAAUUAAUUUUCAAGUUCUUGAGAAGUUUGAGUAUUUUUAAUUGAUUCGAUUGAGUACUCAAAAACUCUAUAUUUUUCAAUUGAUUUUCCAUUGUUUAAAUUUUUUGUUAGGUAAGUGAUGUAUUAAUGUUAACAUUAAGUUAGAGUUGCACAUGAAGAUAGUGAAGGACAUCUAAUAAUGAGACAUAUUUUCCGGAUAUCCAAUAUAAGGUGACUUUUUAUUGUUUUGGUUCAAAAUGACAGAAACAACUUGUUUGAAUGAUAUUGAAAAGAAAGUGAAACGAAAAUGAAGAGAAAAGAAAAUCAAAAGCCUAAAUACAAUGUUGAGAAACUAUAGAAUAAAUGGUUGAAGUUGUGGGUGAAGGUCAUGAAUAAUAAAAUACUUACAAUUAACUUUCUUAUAGUUGACUCUAACCUUUAUUUGGUCGCUAUUGUUUCAUUGUUCAACCUCACACUUGUUCUAAGUCUCUCAAUAUCAUAUUUUGAUUUUGCUAUUUUUUUUUUUGUCUUUGUUUUUCAUCAACCCAUAUUAUGUUAAUCAUCAAAUUAUGUCGUUUAAUAUUAACAAAAAAUAAUAUGUCAAAGAUCCAAGUCUAUUAAGAACCGGAAACUUCAUAUCUUUUAAUAAGCACUUUGUGACUUUUGCAAUCCUCCUUACAAGCACUUUGUGACUUUUGCAAGUUGUCUUCCACUCAGCAAUGAAGAAGUUGUGUGAGUGUGCCACUUGUGUUGUUUCUUCCUUUAGUAAAAUUGCAUUUUUGAUUUUUUCUUAAAGAAAACUGGUUGUGACAUGUGGCAAAAGUUUUCAAUUUCUCCCUUCAAUUAUAUUAAGUAUAAAAUUUUAUAUUAUUAUUUAAGUAUAAAAUAAAAUAUUUAAAAUUUGUAUUUAUUUUAGAUUUUGAAAAACUUAGAAUUUUAAUUAAUUUAGAUUUUUAUUUAAGAAUGACAUCAAAUAAUUUAGGAUAUGUAUUUAUUUAGAAUUUUGAAAAAUUUAGGAAUUUUAUUGAUUUUAGAUUUUUAUUUAAGACAUUAAAUUUUUAUUUAUAUUUAUUCAUUUAUAAUUUUGAAAAUUUUAUUAAUUUAUUAAUUUAUUAAUUUUUAUAUUUUUAUUUAAGUAGUAAAUAAAAUAAUUUAAGAUUUUGUAUUUAUUUCGGAUUCUGAAAAACUUAAAAAUUUUAUUUAUUUGAGAUUUUUAUUUAAGUAUGACAUAAAAUAAGUUAGGAUUUGUGUUCAUUUAGGCUUUGUUUGGAUUAGGGAGUGAAAAGGAGGGAGUGAAUUUGUGAUGAUUUGAAGGGAGAUUGUAAAGAAAGUUAGGGUGUUUGGAUUAAGGUAAAUAGAGUGGAAAAUAUGGGGAAAGUUUAUAAAAGUUUGUGAAUGAUGUGAUGGAUGUGAUUGAAAUUAUAUAUUUUUAAAUUGAUAAAAAUGUAAGUUUACAAAUUUAUCCUUAUAUUUAAAACUGGUUAAAAAUUAAUUUGAUAUAUUUAUUUAUAAAUUAUAAUUAUUUUAAUUAAAAUAUUAUUUAAAUAUUUAUAAUUAUAAAUAUUUGAUAAAAAUUUAUUUUUAUAUUAAAUAAAAUUAUUAUUUUUAUCUUUACUUUUUUUAAUUAAUAUAAUUAUUAUUUAAAUUUAUUUUUUUAAUUAUUAAAAUAUAUAUUUAUUUUUAUAUUUAUAAUUUAUUAUAUAUAAUAUGAUUAAUUAUGUUUUUUAUAAUAAUUAUUUUUUUAUAAUCUUUAUAUUUUUAUAUUUAAAUGAUAAUUAUAUUUUAAAUAAAAAUAAUAAUACUUUAAAUUUAAAAUAAAAAGGAUAAAAAAGUAAAUUAAAAUUAAUUAAUUAAAAUAUAUAUAUUUGCAAAUAUUUUAAAAGUAAUAUGAAUUUGGACAAUUAUGAAUUGGAUUUGAGAAUUUAGAUUUUUUGUCCACCCUUAUGUUAUAUUUUAAUAUUUUAAGAUGAUGUUUGGUUAGAGGUCACCAUUUUUAAAAGAAAAUUGAAUGAAGUUAGGUCAAAGUCUCAACAACAAAAAAGUAUAACAACUAUUAUGAAUUCUAGAACUAUAAACAUCCUUUUCAUCUACUUAAGAUUCCAAUUGGAGCAAACCAAGAAAUAAGGGUGUUUGGGUACUAAUGAUGAACAAAUAAAGAAUAAAUUAUUUUUAUGAAAGUUCAAAUGAAGAAGGUGAUUGAGAAUCAAAGAUUUAAAACACUUUAAUUUGACCAUACAAAUGGAGGUGAAGAAUGCUAGUAAAAAAAGGAUAAUUUAUAGUUGAAUAUGGUUAGAUAGGAUGGAAGGAAUGAGAUGACAUAUUUAAACUAAGAGGACAAAGGAACGAAUGGAAAAAUUUUGGUGAAAGGUAACAAAUCAAUUCAAAUUUUGGAAAAAGGAAAGGGUGGUUGACUUCACAAUAGGGUGUUUAAUGGUUCAUAACAAAAGGAAAUCACAACGAGGGAGAUGUUAAAAUUGUUAAAGGAACGAGAGUUGGAAUUCAAGGAGAAACUAGUUUGAUUUUACAAUAGGUACAUGAAGUGCCCCAUAUUAUUUUUCCAUAAAGAUAUAAAGAAGGAAUAAAACAUAAUUGGAUAUGAAAAGAAGACAUAUUUGUGUUUAACAUGAAAACUUUUAUAAAAAAAAAAUACAUGUUUGCAACUUAUGUGGUCAAAUUUGUAUACAUAAUGUUACAUAUGUACUUGGAUUAACAAGAUAGAAUACUAAUAUAAGUCCUUUUAGAGACUAUUACAAAGGAUAAAUGUCUCAUCAAACAUUGUCAUCUUAACUUGGGAGAUUGAUAAGAAACAAAUUAACAUAUUAAAUACAUAUAUCGGUAUAAGAAUACAUAUAUCCUUUCUGCAAUAAAAAAAAAAUAAGAAAUUGGCAGUGUUUUUACAAAGUAAUCUUAUGGGACCUGAGUAAAUGAGUUUUAUUAUGAUAUGAAGAGUGUUAUUAGGAUGAGAAAUUUUGUGAAUGAGAAAACCCACGACCACCACAAGGGCCAUGGAACUUGGGGUUGACUUUGUCAUUGGUGGGAUUCGAAGGUGACCAAGAUGUGAGAGUGACAAUUGUAGGAAAGCUGAGAGGAUCGAGUUGAUGAUGACAUUCAAGACGUUCUUCUUGCACUAGAAGUAGAGCUUCGAUUCAGCCUGGUGGCUCAUGGUAUGCUAUUUGACUGGUUAAAGGCAGAUGUAGGAGCUAGAAUGGUUAAAGGCUGGUUUGGCUGGUUUCAUGCUUCUAAGAGCAAGAAAGGAAGCUUAAGUCUUGAGUCCUAUAAGAGCUCACGUAGCUGGCACUGCCAAGGGUCUAACUCAUGGGUUCAGAGGCAUCAUGUGUCUACAGGCAUGAAGGGUAUCCAAACUAGACUGUGAUCCUGUUUUGAUAAUAUAUGCAGUAGAAUUUUAAGGCCUGGAUGGUGCUAGAAUGGUGAUGUAGAAUGCUGGUUUCGCAUUAUAGUGCAGUAGAUUUCUGCUAUUGUUCUUAUCUGGUUUUGGUUGCUGUCAUAGCCAUCUUAGCUUGAUGCUAGUGGUCCGUUUGGAUGUUGCUCUAAAUGGCUCCAGUAACAGGUUUCGCUUCUCCUGCAGGUCGUAAAGCAGAUUGGAUGUAGAUGUUUCCCAGGAGCUGGUAUAGACUUGUUAACUAGCUUUGGGUUUUUUCCUAAGCUAUAAGGAGGAGAAAUCUCUUUUGUAUAAAGGUUGGGAUACUCCUGAAGUAUCCCCUUUAAAUUUAAUUUAUUCAUUGCUGAUAAAAAAAAAGUAGAGCUUCGAUCUCUUCAACUUUAUAAUGAAUCGGUUCUAGACAGAAUGGAGGCAACAAAAGGAUCAAAAUCAGGAGGGAACCAUCAAGGAUGGUUUCGAAGUGAUAUUCAACAAAUAUAGGUGCAACAACCGCAGCCAACGCAUCCACCGUGCGUUUGAUUUCAAUUUCUUUAUCUAGGCCCGAGUAUGAGAAGAAAAAUAUGUGUGUAACGUCUGCCAGAUCGGCGAUGCAGAGGUAAGACCCACCAUUUGGGUUAAAAUUGGAGUGGUCAUGGACACUAGAAGUCAUGCAACCACCAAAUUAUCUUGUUGUUUGUAAGAGAUGAAGGAAGGAUUGGAACUGACAAUGUCAUCAGCAGCAAAGAGGCAGCGCGAAGGAACGUUAGUUCCGUCAAGAAACGAAGAAAGCAGCAACCCAUCAAUAAUGGCAUGAACCUGUUGUUUCCACAACAACAAAAUUUCGUCAUCCAGUUUGAGCGGAAUAAGAGUAGUAAAGUGAUGCAGAGAGACAGAGGAGCUCUUGGUAGAGAGAGUCUGGGUGGACGAAGAUGAUGGUGGAGAGGAAGGAGCGGGAGCCAUGAAAGAAAAACGAAGAAGAAAAAAAAGAAGAAAACUUUCUAGCUCAUGAUACCAUGUUAUUAGGAUGAGAGAGAGAAAGGAGAAAAGUUCUGAUAUAAAUCUGAUAUAUGUAAUUGUGUUAAUAGAGUAGUUAUUUAUACACAGGAUAACAUAUGGGUACCCUUAAUAAAGAGAUCUCAAUUUUUUUAUUCUUCUCAGUCUUUCAAACUUUUUUAAUUUCUUGGUUAUGCAUCCAUCACAGUCUCUUGAUGGGUAUCAAGUGAGAGAGAUUCACCUGCAAAGAUACUCCAACCAUCAAGUUAGUAACAAAAUUACAAAGUAAAAAAUAUUAGGAUUCUGGUGAUACUUGUGUCCAAGUUAGCUAUUUAUACUGUUAUGAACUAUCAUUAAGGCUUACUUUUGACAUUCUUUUGUUAACCUUUGAAGUUAGUAACAUGAGAUGUUGUAUUCUAACAACAUGCCGAGAGAUCAAUCGGUUUAUCAUUUUAUUUGACAUAGAUUUCAAUACAUGGAGAGGCCGACUUGUUCAUGCAGUAAUAUAUUUUUUUAUGUAAUUUCUCUUACUCUAUUUGGGUUUAUGCUAUGCUAUGAUUGAUCUAGCAUGUGCUUGCAUAAGGAUAACAUUUCACAUUUUCUAUAACAUUCUUGGUGGUCAACAAUCUAGCUCCACAUGAAUAACAUAAAUUUUUAGAGAACGAAGAGCCAAAUAUCAUUCAGGUUAUUGAUCUUACUAUGAGGUAGUAGACAGAUGCAAUUGUAUAGGACAUUCACUAAAAAUAGUAAUGAAUCCUUGUAUGCUUCGGAACACUUUAUAUAACUUCUUACAAGCGAUUCAUCCCACAAUUUUGAAGGCACCCAAAACUCACAUAACUGAAUGAAACACAUCAAUGAUUUUAUUUUUUCUGAUAACGCAGAAUUACUAAUUACACAACUUACUUUCUUUUUAUGCCUGCAAUCUUAUUUGGAAUACUUCACUUCUUAAUAUACUAUAUACGAGGAGAUGCAAGUGCCACAAGAGGUAGUUUUCUAUGAACAGUUAAUCCAGUAGUUUCAGACAUGCAAAAUGUCUGGUCCCCCACAUCUCCAUCAGGCACAGUCCAAUCAAAUUGGUGCACAAUGUUUGCAAGAACCAACUCAUUCACAACCAUGGCAAAAGCUAUUCCUGGACAACCCCUUCUUCCUGCUCCAAAUGGAAUCAAUUGGAAAUCAUGUCCUUUGAUAUCUAUUGAACUAUUCAAGAAUCUUUCUGGUUGAAACUCUAGAGGUUGAUCCCAAUACAAAGGGUCAGUUGAAAUUGCCCAAGCAUUGACUAGUACUUGUGUGCCAAUUGCAAUGUCAUAGCCCAUCACUUUGGUGUCUUGCAUGGAUUCCCUUGGAAUCAAAAUGGGAGAUGGAGGAUGCAGUCUAAGAAUUUCUUUAAUCACUGCUUUUAAGUAAGGCAUGUCACUCAAAUCCUCCUCAGUUACGUGAUUCUUAGCCCUAGCCACGCUUCUCACCUCAUCUUGUAAUUUUUGCAUCACAUUUGGGUGUCUCAAGAGCUCUGUCAUAGCCCAUUCCAGGACUGCAAGGGUGGUAUCAGUUCCUGCACCAAACAUAUCCUGAAACCAAAGAAUCAAACAUCAAUACAUAUAUGCUUAAUAAUUAAUGACUUCAUUGGUAACUAUAAAUCGUUCAGAUUUCUAGGAUAGUUAUUAUUCAAAUUAUCAAACUUGUUACAUGUUAGUUUAUAUUUUGAUGAUAAUGUAAGAAAAACUUAUAUAUAUGCCAUUAGAAACCAUCUUGUGUCCUGUCAGAAUCACACAGUACAAGGUAAAACCAGACAUAGUAUGAAUACAUAUGUUAUUAUCAGAAGUUUAUGUUAUGUGAGAUAAAAAAGAGCAUAAAGAAAGAAAUAAAGGAUUGCAUUGCCUUAUUAUAUUCAGUAUGAAAAUCAACUUUCAACCCAAGAUGGCAUCUUAAGAAUUUAACAGAGAAGAAUAAGACAAUUAAUUGUGUUUAGCUUCUGACUCUUUCUUUAUGUUGUAUUUUUCUUUGUAAGAAAUCACUUUUCUAUUCAUUGAUGUGGUGGUACAAGAGCCACAUGAGUUUUCAAGUCCUUUUUGACAUGUUAAUUUAAAAAUGUUAAAAAAUGAACAAGAUCUGACAUCAUUGUUCAGUCAGUUUCUCUCUCCUACUCAUUGGGUCCAACCCUUGUCCUCAUUCAUCAAUGCAAUCUUUUAUUAGUUAAUCUUUUAUUCCGUUUUUUUUUUAUCAGCAGUCUUUUACUGCGUACAAAUCUAAGCUUUUCAUAACAAAUAGCAGAGUCCAGAUCUUUAGUUUUGUGGACGAAACUACACCAGCAGCAUGUAGUAGGUAUGCAAUUUAAAAGAAGGCAAAACAAAUUAAUUUUUAGGUAUUAUAUUUUUUAUUUAAUUGUUAAUUUUAAAUUCAAAAUACCAUUAAUUUCUCUUUUAUUAUUUAUUGGUUGAUUAUUCACCUAAUAUUUAAUUAUAUAUAUAUAUAUAUAUUUAUUGUAAUGUUGAAUUAAAAAAUAUAAUAGAAAAAAUUUAAAUAACUUAUAAAUCUCUUAUAUAUAUGAUCAAUUUGUAUUUUAAGUAUCUAACUAAUUUUUACUUCAAAUUAGAUAUCUGUAAAUUAAAAACAAAAUUAUUUAAGGCUUUUAUGCCUAUUUAUUUCUAUUAUAUAUGUAUGUUUUUCUUACUAAGAUAAUCACCAUAUAACAAAAAAUCAUAUAAACUUUAUUAUGAUAAAAAAAAAAUAAGUUAAAACACCAAAAUAAAAAGAUAAAAAUAUUACAGAGAUCGUUUAAAUGAGUUAAUAUAAUGUUAUCAAUUAAAUAUAAAUAAAUAUUUUUUUCAAGGACUUCAAUUCAAAAAAAUUAAAUUAUUAAGUAUUUAUUUUAAGAUAAACUAUUAUAUAUUAUAAAAAAAAUUCUUAUUAAAGAUCUCAAAUUUCUUUAAACCAAAUAAUUUUUAUUAAAAAUAAUAAAAAAUUAUAUUUUUUAUUUAAAGAAACUUUACACCACCCUUGAAAAGAUGAAGUGGGGAUAAUAUUUAAAAUAAAGACAGUUCGACCAUCUAUCUUGCAUUUUAUUAAUAUUCAAUUAUUUAUGAUUUUGUUAAUCUUUUUUAUUUAAUCAAAUUAUUUAGAUGGUGAUAUUUUGACAUUUACUAAAUAAAAAAUAUUCAUUUAUUAUAUUAUUAAAGUAGGUUCACAUUUCUUAAAAAACUUACAUCUAAUUUAUAAUCCAUUUUAAUAAUAUAAUAAUAUAUAUUAAAAUUUUAAAUUAAAAAAUAAAAUAAAUAUAAUUAAAAUAUUAUUAUUUUGAAUCGUCAAAAACAAGUGUGUUUUAUGUGGUCACCACUCUAUUAUUUAUCAUAUCCAUACUUUUUUUUCUUUUGUUUCUCACUUUCUGGUGAUGUAGGACAUAUAGGUUGAGAAAAAUUUUAUAAGCUUAAGAUCAUAAUUAAUUCAUUUAAAAUGCACUGUUAAUAUAUUAACAAUCAUACAUUAUAUUACAACUACACUAUAUUACAAUUAAAAAAAAUAUUAAAUAUAAAUUUCAUAAAAAAAAUAAAAAGUUUGAAAAUUAUAUUAUUUCAUAUCACAAUUAUAAAUUGACGCAUUCUAUCAACAUCCAUUAAAAAGAUUCGAUCAUGACUUCGUAUUAUGAUAAAACAUGUAUAAAAAUCACAAGAACUGACAACAUUUUUCAUUCAAAUUAUAAACAUGCCAUUUAUCUACUAAAAUGUGUAAUAAAUAAUACUGAUAUGCUAGCAAAACACUCAAUAAGAACUAAUACACAAGCAGUGAUAGAUAUAUCUUACCAUGAUCAAAGCCUUCAUGAUAGUCCUAUCAACCUGAAAAUCUGUAGUGGAGCUAGUUUUCUGAAUCUCCAGCAAGAUCUCCACAAAAUCAUUCUGCUUAUCAGCAUUAACACCAUCACCAUGGCUUCUCACACCAACAUGUUCAUCAACAACCUCUUCCAAAAAAUCAUUGAGCUGUUUAGCCACUCCCUUUGCCCUACCAUACAUUCCAUUAAUUCUUCCCACCCAAUCAAGCCAAGGUAUAUAGUCCCCUAUAACCGAUGCCCCCAGAAACUCUUCCAACUGGCUCAUUGGCCCCCUAAGCACACUCCCUUCAUAUCUCCUUCCAAUAACACUCCUACACACUAUAUCAUUCGUCACAUCAGAGAGCAAAUCAGUUAAGUUCACUGGCUUCAAACAUGCACAACUCUGCAUAAUUUUCUCUAUCAUUACCACAACUUCCUCUUCCCUCACUUUACGAAAGCCCUGAACCCUUUUCGUACUCAGAAGAUGCAAGACACAGAUACUCUUCACCUGCCUCCAGUAGUGGCCAUAUGGAGCAGAGGCUACGUCUCUGGAACCAUACCAGAAGAUAUCAAACAUCUUACGAUGUGGUCUGUUACAGAACACGUGGUCUUGGUUUUUCAGAAUCUCGCGUGCUGCUUCAGUGUUUGAGACCACAAGAACUGGCACCUUCCCAAAGUAAAGCAUCACUAGAGGGCCAUAGGUUUGAGCAAAGGAUUGGAGAGUGUGGUGAGUGAGGUUGCCAAGUUGGUGUAGGUUUCCUAUUAUUGGAAGCUUUGGAGGAGAUGGAGGUAGCUUUUUUGCUGAUUUGGAAUUCAGUUUGGAUAGAAGAUUGAAUAUGGUGGGAAAGGCUAGCAAGAUGAAGAAUGCUAGCAUGGGAAUGAAGAACCACAAGGAAAUGGUUCCAUUCAGAAAAUUCGUCAUUGGCUUCUACUUCAAGAUUAUGUUCAGUCGUGGAUUUUGUAAUAAUGUGCUGUAAUGUGUUGGCUUGUUUCACAAGGGAUACAUAUAUUGCUAAAAAAAGUCAUGAUGGGAAGUUGAAUAAAGAUGCGGAGCACUUGGGACCAUAAGAUUGACUUUAUGCUUCUCCCAAUCUAUCAAUGAGAUAUGUAACUCACUCCGAGUAUGUAACCAAUCAUGAAAGAUAUAUAAGCAUGUCACUUUAGUUUAGUAAAGAUAAAAGAAAUUUUAUACUCGAUUUUAUAAAGGUGGAGUUAAAUUUAAAUUCAGUCUAGCGAAAGUUAGUUGAAUUUAUCACUAUCGAACUAUCCAUAAAUAUAUAAUUUCACACACGAGUUGAUAGUCUCAGCACGAUAAGGUAUAUUAAAGAUUACACAUCGACUAGAUAUAAAAAUAUUUUAUAAUAUAUAAUAUUUACAAACCUUAACUUUGAACCCGUUUUAUAAGUUUAAAUUACACUUCAAGUUCACUUAAUAAAUAUUUUUAUGAAGUAAAUUAAUGUUAUUUUAUCAACAUAAUCUCCCUUCCUUAAACAUUUAGGUCUUCAUCAUGUCUACUCACAUAAAUAUAAUGAAAUUAUUAAAUAAAGAUGGAUGAAUUAUUCCUUUUGUGAAUAGUCUUUUUGUUGCCUAAAGAAUAUAUGUAUUAAUAAACAUAACACGUAAAGAGUAUUUAACCCUUUUAUACAUGUUUUAUGUAACAUCCCAUAAAAUACAUCUAACUAUUACAAUACAAUUAGUUCUACAGAUUUUUACACAAACUUUUUAAAAAUAUUUCUAUUCUAAGAUGUUUACUUAUAGAAAUACAAAUAUUAACAAUAUAAGAUUUAAAAACUACAUCUUAAAGCCCUCCAGAACCUCCGACACAUAUACGAUCAUCUGCUCAUGUACAUAAUACAGUCAUCGCAGUUCACAACACAUUAAGCUAGUGAAAAUAAAGUUUUAUAAUAUACACGAUUAAAUCAAAAGAGAAAACCAAAUUACAUGGAUCAAUUUAUCAAUUAUUCAAUCUUCUUCAAAUCCCAACAUAAAACAAUCACAUAAAUCUCACAUGGAUCUACACAUCCAUGAUAUUCAACAAACAACGUCUUCCGGAAGAUCCAUAUUAAGUAAGUCCUACCAGAGACUAACACCUGAUCCAAAAAUUACCAAGAAAUCCAAGAGAAAUGAUUAGGGUAAGUUCAAUACAAUCCAAGUCGUGUAUCUCAUAUGUCACGAUGUACAUGAAAUCCUCCAUCAGCUUCUCACCACCCCACCUGAUAUGUCUAUAUGACUUAGAUCAUCAGUGAAGCUCGAAGAUCUCCGAUACCACAUAGACAUCAAUACUUAAUACACAAACAAACAUUAGUCCAUACAUUAUCCCAAAUGUAUGAAUUCAAUUCCAUACCAUUUUCAUCAUACAGUAUCAUUUAAAACACGAUCCAGAACAUUCAAAAGUCUUAUUAACAUAAAAAAACAACACUUAAAUAUUAAACCAUCAAAAUCCAAUAUUUCUACAAGUUUAAAUAAUAUAUAAAUAAAAACACAAUAUAUAAACACGCAACAUCCCUACAAGAGAAAUUAAAUAUAUAGAUUACGUUCCCUUCACAUCCAGAUCUUCUAGCCUAGGUGCUAUUAAAAAUUUAAGUUAGCUUCCCUUACCUGAAAUUUCACUGAUAGAAAUUUCACCUCAAACAGAGGAACCACUCCAAAAUUUAGGAACCUAUAACAAGUUAUCCAAAUAUUACCAAAUUUUAGUUUAUAGUAAAAGAAGUUGAGAGGAACACUUUUCUCACUUGUCCCCAUCGGGAUUGAUGACUAAAUCACAGAGAAAAACCUAGAAUAGAAGAUCUUUAGAAUAAAAAUGAACUCACUUUGUUUGAAAAUCUGAUUGGCUAGAAAUCUAGCCUGACUCUUUAGCUACAGUAUGGCGUGAUCAGAUUUUGGAAUAGAUGAGAUAUGGGAGAGAAAAUGAAGAGAGAAGGGAGAGAUGAGAAGUUGGGAGAACUACAAAAAAAAAUAAGAAUCAUCUAUGAAUUUUUAACCACGAAUAUGAAUCCAUAGGUAAAUUCAGCAUUACCUACAGACAAUAUUAUCUACUAAUAUUACCCACAGAUCUGAAUUCGUAGGUAAAUUUAGCAUUACCUACCAAUUAUUACCCACAAAUCUCUAUUAUCUACCAACUAUAACGAAUCUCUAUUACCUACCAAUUAUUACCCACAGAUCUUUAUUACUAACAACUUUUAUCCAUAGAUUUCUAUUACCUACCAACUAUUACCUACAAAUCUCUAUUACCUACCAAUUAUUAUCAUAAUAAUUAUAUACAUAAUAUUUAAAAUAUUAUUAUAAUAUGAAUAAUUAUAAAAUUAUAACUAAUAUUCAUAAAUAAUAAUAAUCAUAGAUAUACAUAUUAUUAAUAUUAUAAAAUAAAUAAUAUUAAUAUAAUAAUAUAAAUAAUAUUAUUAGUAUUAUAUUAAUAAUAUGAAUAAUAUUAUUAUUAAUAAUAUGAAUAAUAUUAUUAUUAAUAAUAUGAAUAAUAUUAUUAUUAAUAAUAUGAAUAAUAUUAUUAUUAAUAAUAUGAAUAAUAUUAUUAUUAAUAAUAUGAAUAAUAUUAUUAUUAAUAAUAUUAAUAGUAUUAGCAAUAUUAAUAGUAUUAAUGAUAUUAAUAAUAUGAAUAAAAUUAAUCAUAUUAUUAAUAAUAAUAUUAAUAAUAUUUGUUAGUAUUAAUAAUAUUUGAUAGUAUUACUAAUAUUUGAUAGUAUUACUAAUAUUUGAUAGUAUUACUAUUAUUUGAUAAUAUUACUAUUAUUUGAUAAUAUUAGUAAUAUUUAAUAAUAUUAAUAAAUUAAUAAUAUUAGUAAUAUUUAGUAACAUUAAUAAUAUUAAUAACAUUAUUAUAAUAAUUAAUAAUGUUAUUAAUUUGAAUAAUAAUAAUAUUAAUGAAAUUAAUAAUAGAAAUGAUAUUAAAUAUAUGAAAUAUAUUAAUAAUAUUUAUAUUUUUAAUUAUAUUAAUAUUGAUAAUCAUUUUAAUAAGUAUAAUAAUAAUAUCAUGAUAACAAAAUUUGAUUGGUUUAAUGGUUGAAGAUUUUUUGGUCAUUCCUCAAUAAACUUGGUUUCGAGUCCCAAAUUGGGUUCUUUUUAAGAAAUUCAAUGAAAAUGUUUUUUACUUUUUGCUCUUGAAAAAUUGGCAAAUUGAACUUAUAUUUGCUACUAUCAAACAUCAAUAUUUUGUUCUUCCAUUUCAAACAUAGUCAAAUAUCAAUAAUUCAAUUAAAAUAAAAAUCAAAUAUCAAUAUUUUUCUAUUUCAAAAAUAUUAAACAUAAAUACCGCUACAAUAAACAUAGUUGGAGCAUUGAAAUGAAUAAAAAAUAAAAACUGAUUUUUUUUUUAAUCCAACUUGUCUUAUCAUUAUCAAGUCAACAUACAAACUUUUUUUAAAUAAGUCAGCGGACCAGCCAUUCCGCCCAACUGUUUGUACGCACAAACUCAAAUUAUGCAAGACGGAUUAAAGCGGAUCAGCAGAUUGAAAAAUGAAUCCAUCCAGCAUUUUUACUAGCGGGUUAUGAUUGCCCACCCACCCACUUUGCUAUCCCUAAAAAAAUUAUGAAGGAAGGGGUGGCGGCUGCUCUGUUGUGUUUUACGGGAUUUACACUUUAUGAAUCGUUAAACUUGCAUCCUUCCUAGAACUUUCACAUAAUUACUCACUUUAGUUUUUCAAACUUUUCAUGUGUGCCAACUUAACUUUGACCCUUUUUUUUCUAUGGAGGCAAAAGUAAAACUUAAUAAAUAAUGAAUCUAUUUUUUUCCCUUCAUUCUCUUCCAAUGCAAACAAGAAUUAUUGGUUUACAAGUGUGAAAAGAUGCACAAAAAUACUCAAAUUUUAUUUAUUUUACUUUAGACUUAUGUGUUGUCUUAAUUAAGAUAUUCUAGUUGCAUCCUUUUCUCACAAGGAAAUGGCAUGGCGGCAACCUGUUGAAGUGGCCAUAAAUGUUUUGUUUCCACAUAUCAAAUCACGUCUCCUUAUUAUAACGAAUGAUUGAAGGUAGUUGUCCCCACUACGUACUAACGGAUAAGGAAGUAUCUUUUUAGUGUGUACUGUUAAGAUAUCAGCACACUGCUAAUUUAACCCAUGCCUUGUUGCACUAUUAAAAUUUUCUUCUCAUUAUUCUCCCAUUAAUGUGUUUAGAUGAAGAAAAUAGAGCUUGAAUAGGAAUGGAUUGACCUUGAGGACUGAAGUGAAAACUGUUCAAAAAAUAGAAGGUGCUUUUGCAUCUAUUAUCAAAACCCAUCUUUCUUAUUAUUGUAGUCUUUUCCUUUCUUGCACAAUCACUUUCGUUAGUAUCUUCUUCAACCGCCUCAUUAUUGACAUAUAUUAAAGAUCUUUCUUCUCACUUGUGUUCAAAUGUUACAAAGAAAAUCGUAUAUAGUAGCAGAAACUUUACCAGAAUAAUCAACACUUAAGAGCUUAGAUAACAUCCCAAAAUAUUACAAGAAUAAUAAACUUCACAACUACUUAAGAUUGUUUAGCUAUCUUUGGCAGAACGAUCCAAAGUAAGCUCAUUAAUUCAUUACUACAAUAUUGAGAGUAGAUUGCAUUAUUUUCCUUUCAAGUUAUUUUCUAUAUCUUUAACAUUCACUUCUUAUUCAUGAUGGGAUGCAAUUGCCAUGAGAGGGAAUUUUCUGUGACUGCUCAACCCUGUAGUUUCAGUCAUGUCCAGUGUCUUAUCUCCCACUACUCCACUAGGCACUUCCCAAUUAAACUGAUGAACAAGGUUUGCUAGGACCAGCUCAAUCUCAUUCAUGGCAAACAUUAUUCCUGGACAACCCCUCCUUCCUGCUCCAAAUGGUAUCACUUCAAAAUCAUGUCCUUUCACAUCUAUUGAACUAUUUAAGAACCUCUCUGGUUCAAACUCUUCAGCUUUGUCCCAAUAAGAAGGAUCUCUUCCAAUUGCCCAAGCAUUCACUAUUGCUUGUGUACCAGCUGCAAUGUCAUAGUCCAUCACUUUUACAUCUUCCAUGGAUUCCCUUGGAAGCAACAAGGGACCUGGGGGAUGUAAUCGAAAACUUUCUUUAACCACUGCCUUCAAGUACUGCAUGCUACUUAGAUCUUCCUCUGUUAUGUGAGUUCUACCAUUAACCACAUUCCUUAUCUCACAUUUUAACUUCUGCAUCACAAUUGGGUACCUUAAGAGUUCUGUCAUUAUCCACUCUAGGAUUGAGGAGCUGGUGUCAGUACCUGCCACAAACAUAUCCUGAAAAAAAUACCCAUCAACUAUCAAUUUCAUUGUCUAUACCUUGAAUUUUCCAUGAACGAAAAUAAACUCAACAUGUAUUAAGAUUUUGUAGAUGUGAUUUAACUUUUGCUCAGAAAAGUAAGUAUAUAUAGCUUUUGCUAGAGAGAUAUUAGAAAACUAACUUAGUGUUUGACUCUGCAAUAGACUCUACUAUGAAGUGAAAUUCACGUAAGAUUUCUUAAACAAGAAGUAAAACCUAAUGAAACAGAUUCAUUCACUGAAACCCAAAUGAGUUCACCAACUAGUUUUCAAUCAAAGACAUAAUUUCUAAUAUUGUAUGAAUGUUAGACAUACAAAAUUAAAGACUAAGCCACUUUGAUUUUUAAGAUUUGUAAACGCUAGUCACCUUAUAAUAAAACUUCCACCAAACCUUUUGGUUUAGUCCCUAGCUGAUUUGUGAAAUCUCUAUUACUUUUAGUGUUUUCUCACAUCAUCUUUGACUUUAAGGAUUGAACUGCAUGAUGCUUCAGCAAAAUAAAGAUUCUAUUAAGUUAGAAAGUAGAGUAGCUGUCUAGAGAAUAUUAGGAACUAAUUAAUGAGGGAUAACACAUUUGUUCUAAUCUUGCAUACCAGGAUCAAAGCCUUUAUGGUUGUUCUAUCAAUCUCAAACCCCGUUGCGUUUUGCUCUUGGAUCCUCAGCAAAAUGUCAACGAAAUCAUUCUGCUCUUCAUCAUCAUCACCAUGCACAUGACGCACUCUCCUACUUACAUGCUCAUCAAGAACUUGAUCAAAAAAUUCAUCAAGCUGUUUAGCCACUCUCUUUGCCCUACCAUACAUUCCAUUAACGCUUCCCAACCAAUCAAGCCAAGGUAUGUAGUCCCCUAUAACUGAAGCACCCAACAGCUCCAUCAUCUCAUUCAUUGGCUCCCAAAGCUUACUCCCUCCUUCUCCACUGUAUCUCCUUCCGAGAGCAGCUCUACACACUAUGUCAUUUGUGAGUGUAGUAAAUAAAUAACU
This 83902-nucleotide long non-coding RNA is filed under the name Phaseolus vulgaris (common bean). RNAcentral's name for it is "long non-coding RNA (PVUL_LNC003640)". The record is from RNAcentral. Lineage: Eukaryota; Viridiplantae; Streptophyta; Magnoliopsida; Fabales; Fabaceae.